This 75785-nucleotide long non-coding RNA is filed under the name Citrus maxima (pomelo). RNAcentral's name for it is "long non-coding RNA (CMAX_LNC001275)". Lineage: Eukaryota; Viridiplantae; Streptophyta; Magnoliopsida; Sapindales; Rutaceae. The record is from RNAcentral.
CAGCGAGUGAUAUCUUACGGCGACCACUUGAUGUGGGGAAUGUGGGAUAUCUUAUACCAGUCUUCUCCUUCCCCCUCUCUAUAACGGUUUUCCAGAAUGAGACAUCUCCAAAUUGUCAAUUCCUGCAGCGUCGUCGUCCGAAGAAGGUAAUCCGGCAGCACCUUUAAUUUGGGGCAAUCCCAAAUUCGCAAGGAAGAAAGACGUAGUAUGUCUGUUGUCCUGCGAUCUUCUAGAACGGGCAGUUCUUCUAGAAGAUAACAAGAAUAAAUACUCAGUUCCUGCAGUGUCGUCGAUUGAAGAAGGUAAUCCGGCAGCACUUUUAAUCUGGGGCAAUAAGAAAUCUCCAAGGAAGAAAGACGUGGCAUGAUGGAGAUGUUUUCCGUCCUCGUAAUCCUGUAAUUCCACUCUUCCACUUCAUCAAAUUCGCCAAUUUCGAGAGAUUUCAAUUUGGGGAAGGCAAUAACUGAUGAUGACGAUGAAGAUGAAGAUGGGUCGUCCUCACUGCUUUCUUUUAUUCCCAAAAACUCAUUACCUACUCUUUUUACACUUUCAAAGCCGCGUAGUUCGAGUUUUUCCAGAGGCAAUUUUCCCAAAGGAGGCAAAUGCUCACAGUUUACGCAGUAGAAAAGGCUUAAAUCCCUUAGAUUGGUUAGUGAAGUCAACCAUUUGGGAAAAAUGUUGCCUCCGUAGAAUAUAAUCCUUAACUCCUCUACAUUCAAAGGCGGUUGUAAGGCUUCAAGAAGUUGUUUAUCUUUCUCGUUCUUCCUCCUCCCUUCUUCGCCCUCCCCAUCUACGACUCCACCAAACUCAAGAUGCAAACGAAGGAGGUUUUUCUUAUUGUAAAGUUGUAACCUCUCAGCCUCAUCUACAUGCGAUACAUUACUCAGCCCUUCUACUCUACAUUCACGAAGGAGUUGAAGAUUUUUCAGAGAUUCAAGCCUACACGUAUUGCUACCAUCAACACCUCCACCCACCACAAACUUUUCUAAUGUUCGAAGGCUAGUCAAUUUGGAAAUCCCUAUUGGCAGGUACUUCAACGAACGAGUUUUAUCAUUCAGUAAACUCCUCAUGUUCAUUAACUUCCCAAUCCCUGCAGGCAAUUCUCUAAGAUAUUCGCACUGCCUAAUAUCUAGCUUUUGUAAAUUAUAUAAUUGACACAAAGUCUCAGGUAGUCUCUCUAACCUUAAUCCAGACAAAUUAAGAUAUUUUAAAUGUAUCAAUUUUCUAACUUUUUCUGGAAUUUCUAUAAUCAAAUUUGCCUCAGGAUGAAAACCUAAAAUGUGAUAUUGCCUCAUAACUAAUGCCCUCAAACACGCCAAUUUACUAAAUAACUCCGAAAGGAUGCUACUACUAAGAGGCCGACUGUAAGGACUUUCAUCAUAAAUUAAUAAGGUACGCAAUCUAUUAAGUCCAUGAAUGGACAUAGGAAAUGAAGUGCCUCUUUGAAAAUUUAACCCUAAGUGACGGACUUUGUCACCAAAAGAGUUUAUGACUGAUUCUUUGGUACCAUUAAUUUCUACCCACAAACAUUCUUUUCUACUUACAAAUUGGGCAAAAUCAUGUACUAUGUCAUGCAUCUUACACCCCAGAAUAUCAUCAUUGUCAUCAUCUUUUUCAAACUCUUGAAAGAAAGAGCGUGUUGCUAAGAUGUUGAAAUAUUCUUCUCCGAUCAUCUCCAUUUCUUCGUCUUCAUCUGCAUUAAGGUAACCUUGAGCCAUCCAUAGAUUAAUCAAUUCCCUUUUAUUCAUAUUGUAGUCUUUUGGAAAGACAGCACAAUAUGAGAAACACCGUUUUACCAUAGAAUUGGAGGGCAAAUCGUUAUAACUCAACAACAAAGGAGCCAAAAUACCUUGCCCAAUCUCUUCUACUUUCCACAUUUCACUCUCUAAAAUUCUUUGCCACUCUUUUAUUGUACUUUUAGAGCGCAAGAGAUUCCCUAUUACCUUUGCAGCAAGAGGUAGGCCUUUGCACUUACAUGCAAUUUUUCGCCCGAUUGGUUCUAAUUUUUCACAAUCCUCAAAGGACCUACGUAGAAAUGCUAUCUGCUUAAACAGUAACCAACAUUCCCCUUCACCCAACUCCUUGACAGGGAUAAUAUCUAUUGAUCCCAACUGCAGUGCAACUGACCUAUCACGUGUGGUAAUUAGAAUUUUACUUUCAUGGUGGCCAUUCUUUAGACAAGAAAAGAAUGGGUCCCAUUUUUUGUAAUCUCCAUCCCACACAUCAUCUAAAACAAGAAAAAAUUUCUUCCCCGUAAUAUAUUCCUGAAUCUGUUUCAUAAGAGAUUCGAAUUCGCUUAAACCAGAAGCUGACGCGCCUAGACUUUCAAUGAUUGCUUUGGCGACCCUAAUCUCCUCAAAAGUGUCUGAUACACACACCCAUAUAACUUUUUCAAAAUUUCUUUUCACCUCAUCAUUAUUAUAGGCCAGUUGUGCAAGAGUGGUUUUACCUAUACCCCCUAACCCAACUAGUGAGAUGACAUGAAGGCCUUUUUGUUGUUCACUACUUUCACACAACAACUUGCUUAAGAGCUCAUUUUUCUCAUCAACUCUACCGCAAACCUCUCCCUCAUCAAUCAAGGAGGUGGUUCGCACUCGCUCUGGUUUCUUAACAUUGCUGCUCACAUUCUCAACAAAUUUAAACGUAUCUUUUUGGGAGGCAAUAUCAUCUAGCUUUCCAUUGAUUUCCCUGAUCUUGACGGCAAUGUCAUGACGAAGACUAAGUUGUUUGAAACUACCAAAGCAGUUUGAUACAGCACAAAAGAAGGAGCGUACCUUCUUAUGAGGAGCAAGAGCAAAAGCAUUGUCAUCAUCAACGCCCUCAAUCUGCAAUUUGAGCCUUGCAGUGGUCCACUCCUCCAACACGUCUUCCAUGUCGUAAGAUGCGUCUUUGAGUUGAUCCAGCCAAAAAGUAACAGCAUUGUCGCGCUGCAUUUGCCUUUUCUCUGCAUCUUCCAGCACAGCUCGAAUGGCUCGAAGAUUGCUGGUAAGCUUUUUCACUUCUUCUCCGACACCAGUCACAAGCCUCACCUGUUGUUUCACUUCAUCAGCCGCAACGGAGAUCAGCUGCUCCAGGAGAGAGGAAACGAUCGCAUCAACCAUUCUGACAAAGAAAACGAGAAUUCUGAUGAGUUAUUAGAUGUGCUUUUGUUGCGAAGAUAUGAAAGAAAGGAGUUAUUGCAUUCUUUUAUACUGCAUAGAAAAGGUUUAUGCUUAUCCCCAACCCACACGUCAAUGAUUGUAGAAUGUUUAAUUUCCCUGAUUCUACUCCACUAGUUGUAAUAUUCUCAAGUUAUGUAUGAAAAUAGCACAAAUUUGGACCUACUGAUGAUUUUUAUGUAUUUUUUCAUAAUCUUCUAAAAUACUGUAUCUGCAUGUUAUUUCGUGCAGAAAUAUGGCAUUGGGUGAAAAAAGUUAUGCUUAUCCCCACCCACACGUUAGUAAUUGCAGUAGCAUCUUUAAUUUCCCUGAUUCUACUCCACGGACGAACACAUUUUUUGUACUAAUAUCUUUAAAUUCCCACACGUUAGGAAUUUGGCACAUAAUCUCAAACUCGUCCCAUCUUUAACGUAUGAGGUUGAUGAAUGAAUUCUUUUCUCAUGUGAAUUUAAAACUCCGAGAUUAUGUGCCAAAUUCCUAACGUGUGGGAAUUUUACCUCCUAAGUAAUCCGGCCCACUGCCAAGUGCCAACUUUUUCUCUGUCGAGUUAAUGAUGUUGUUUUGUUUUCCUUGUUUUAAUUAAUGUUGCGGUGAGAAAAAGAUCGAUGUAAAUGGCUAGCCAGGUUUUGCAGAAACCAUGAAUGGUCUUGCAUGCAUGGGUGGCUUUAAGUAUAGGCCAAAAAGAUGGUCGUCUAAGGCCCCAAAUUUUAAAAAAGCUACAAUUUUUUAAUAUUAAUAAUAAUUCUCUUAUUAAUAAAAUCUUUUAAAAAAAUUAUAUGUGUGGUAGAAAAGCCUAUUAGACAUAUCUCUAAUUAAUAAUUAUCCUAUAAUUAAUAUUUUUUUUAUAUAAAAACCUAUAAUUGGUUAUCUUAUUGUUAAAGAGAUAUAAUUAAUAAUAUUGUUUAACCAUUAAUUUAUUCAUUAUUAGUUUUUCUAAUAAAAAUAAGUAAAUUUUUUUAUCUUUUCAACUUCUUAAAAAAAAACUUAAUUAUUCAACAUUAGAAUAUUUGGCUUUGAGUAUUUCUUUUAAUUUCUACUAAAAAUCUUAUAAUCUAAAAAAUUAUAGAUGAAAAAUUUCUUAUUAUCUUCUCUACGAUGAAGAUUAUUACAUGCAUUAGUUCAUUCAAAAAAGAAAAAUAAAAAAUUAGUUACUUGAAAUACAAAGUCCAUAUCCAUUAUCUAAAAUCAGUUCAUAAUCUCAACUUUUUAUGUGCUACCAUUCUAAAUAUUCUAUUUGAAAAUAGUAUUGUUCUCAUUUAUUCGUUUGCUUCUUUUUGUAAAAUUUCUAAUGAUAAAUUUUAGAUUUUGUUUUCAAAAAUUUUUAGAAUCUUCUUGAUUAUUUGUUGAAAUUCAAGAAUAAAAACUGAAAUGGAUUUUCAGUUCUUUAUUGUUUUAUUGAAUAUUGAAAUUACUAAAUAAAAAGAGGUCUCAUAAAAAAAAAAAAAAAAAAAAGUUCGUCUAAGGCCCCUAAUACUAUAAGCCGGCCCUGCUUGCAUGUGACAUAAAGCUUUAUAGCUUAUUCCUCCAUCAACAUUUCAAUGGUUCCAUCUCACGUGCACUUGGCUAUGAAUAAGGUCCAUGCAUGGAUCGAUCGAUUUAGGAGUUUUGGACCAUCUCAUGCUGCAGAGUUAUGUGUCAUGUAUGUGUGUUGACACUUGCCAGUUCAUUUUUGUUAUAAAGAUUAUUGAUACUCAUAAAUGCACUACUUACAAAUCAUAAAUUUUGAGUUUGACACUUUAGUUUCAUUUUGUAAUCCCUACGCUCUUUAAAUAUUUGUAACAAUAUAUUUCAAACUUUAACUCAGACGUAAUGAAUGAAGGGGGAUCCUCUUCUUAUAUAAAUUUUUAUUUUUUAACGUUCAAGUUACAUUUGAUUACGUGUACUUAUUAUCUAGUUUUGACUAUCUAAUUACAUUUGAUUACGUGUACUUAUUAUAUAAAUUUUUUUAAAAAUGAUGGGUUUGGUGAGAUUUUUUACAUCUUGGAUCAGUAGGUCAAGAACAGGCAGGGCAGGGCCUUCUCUGAAGUCAAUCUUGUGAGCAACACCAGCUUUUUGGAUAAUUGGCAGCCCCAAUUCAUAAUUUUCUCUAUUGAUGUCCAUGGCCAAAAUCUGCAACCGAAGCUUAUUCUACUCUUAUUAAUCGAGAGAUAAUUUUACCUCUAAUUAAUUUAAUUGGGAGGAAAAUCGAGAGAGAUAUCCACUCUGUCCUUAUUAAUUGAGAGAUAAUUUUACCCUUACCCAAUUUAAUUGGAAAGGAAAUCGAAUUCCAACAAUAACUAGGACUUGAAUCCAUGCACUUAAGCUAACUUUAAGUUUUUGGACGCAUGGUUAUAAUGUUCUUUAUUUAAAUCCUAACAAAUGGUGGGACUUGAACUUGUGCCUACAAACAUUGAGUGCUUAGGGGCUGCAAAAUUUCAUAACUUAAUUUUAGUUGAUGUGGCAUAUGCCCUAUCACAUAAAUGUAGGUAAUAAUAAUUAAUACAUUAACAAAAUGAAAAAUAUUAGUUUACAAAACACAAAUCCAAAAUUUUUGUGUGACAGGGGAUUUAAAAGGGAGAGACUAAAUAAAUGUGGUGAAAAACGACAUGUAUUACUAAAAUUGAAAAUACGAAGUCUAGGCAAUUGAAAACAUCGGGUUUUUUAUUUAAAUAUCCCCAAUUUGUCCUUAAAUACCAAAUUUAUACUCUAUUAUAUACAUAUACCUUACGAAGAUAGGGAAGGUAAAAAAUAACCUUAAAAAAAUCAAGAAUCCACACAUUUCUUCCUCUCAGUGCAGGAAGAUGUCGAGUACGAAGUCGGGUAAGUCGAGAAUUUAGUUGAGCAAGAAUUGGAGAUAAGUAAGUCGAGUAUAUAAUCCAGUAGGAAAUUGAGUAAGCAUAUUAAAUGAGUCGAGUAUUAAGUGGUCGAGUAUUAAAUAAAAGUCAAGUGAAUUUUUUGAACAAGUCGAGUAAAAUUUAUGUAAUUUUUAAAAAGGUCAAGUAUUAAGUCGGGCAAGUACAUUGGGUCGAGUAUUAAUAUUUUUAAGGAAGUGAAGUCUAGUAAGUUGAGCAUUCAGUCGAGUGAGAAAUGAAGGCAAUUGAAUAAGUCGAGUAUCUAGUCGAGUACGAAGUCGGGUAUGAAGUAUGGUAAGUUGAGCAUUCAGUCGAGUGAGAAGUUAAGGCAAUUGAAUAAGUUGAGUAUCUAGUCGAGUACAAAGUCGGGUAUGAAGUUUGAUAAGUUGAGCAUUCAGUCGAGUGAGAAGUGAAGGCAAUUGAAUAAGUCGAGUAUCUAGUCGAGUACGAAGUCGGGUAUAAAGUAUGGUAAGUUGAGUAUUCAGUCGAGUGAGAAGUUAAGGCAAUUGAAUAAGUUGAGUAUCUAGUCGAGUACGAAGUCGGGUAUGAAGUUUGGUAAGUUGAGCAUUCAGUCGAAUAAGAAAUGAAGGUAAUUGAAUAAGUCGAGUAUCUAGUCGAGUACGAAGUCAAGUCUGAAGUCUGGUAAGUUAAGCAUUCAGUUGAGUAAGAAGUGAAAGCAAUUGAAUAAGUCUAGUAUCUAGUCGAGUAAGCAGAUUGAAUGAGUCGAGUAUUAAUUUUUUGUUGGCAUUUUGUUGAGGUUAUUUUUGUACUUUCUUCGGUUUUUUAAGUAUGUAUAUGUAAAGUUACAGAUUUUAAUAGAUUGAGAUAUAUUUUGGAUGGUACGAGAGAAACGGGGUAUAUCCCACGCAAUUCCUUCGAAAACAUAUCUGUCAAUUGCAAUGAAAAGAUCACAACCCUUCGUAAUUAAACAAAAUCAAACUUGAAAAAAAAAAAUCACACACACAAAACAAUCACAAAAACUAUUUGUUCUGAUCAUCCCUGCUUUUUUUUAGCGUAGCUCUUGGAAUGAAAAUUAACAAAAAGUGUCAAAAGAGAAGCAUUAAACACAGCAUUGAAGCACCAACCCAAAAUCCCAGAGCAACCAAAUCCCGUAAAAUGAUAAUACAGCAUCAAAACCGAAACAACAAAACUAAACACAAACUGAACAAUCUGACAAUCAGUGACCAAUCUCUUCCACUUUGGCCGCAACACCAUCACACACAAUAGAUAGUACCCGUACAUGAUCACAUGCACACUUGCAUUGGUCACAAGUGCAAUAGGAAACAAAGACUGCUUCGUCUGUAACCAAAGGUAGCACAUUACGACGACGGUUGCAUGGUGGUAGACGUGGAGGAACGUGAGCCGUUGGAUGGAGUUUGACAAAAUGAUCAAAAGGGUGUCUAGGAAUUCGAGUAUUUUGGAGAGGUAGAAGAUGUAAGCGUAGAAGAAGAGGGGACCGGAGGGAGAAAUGGUGGGGGGAAACAGAGGGUGUGACGGAGGUCGGGUGAAUGGAGGACGAUGGAGAGAGUGCAACCAACGGCCAUGACGAGGGAGAGGAGGAGGAGGGUAAGGUUAUGGACGGCUGUGAUGGGCUUGAGGAUGUGGGGUCCAAUGAGAGGUGAUGAUGAUGGUGAUGUUGGCGUUAAUUUGUGGUAGAGGAUGAAUGUGAGGGAGAGGAAAGUGAGGAUGGAGAGAAUGAGGAAGUGUGGGGAGGAAGCUGGGGUUUGGUUUUGAGUCCACGUGAAGUAGAGGAUUUGGGGAUGGUUUACAAGCCAAUAUUGGAGUGUUGAGGUGAUUGAAUUUGAAGCCAUGGCUGGUUUUUAGGGGGAGGAAAGAUUAGAAAGAGAUGAUGUUGAGAGGAGUGGGGGAGUUUAGAAAGUUUGGGAUAAUGUGAGGGGUAUUUUGGGCAUAUAAUGUUGUCUGAGCUUAAAUUUUUGUUAAAAAGAAAUAAUAAUAAUAAUAAUAAUAAUAAUAAUAAUAAUAAUAAAUUCUUUUCUCAUGUCAAUUUAAAACUCCGAGUGUGUUUCCAACAAUUGCUUUUCUUUUUCUAUUUUGGGAUUUUGAAUCAUUUUUUUUUCAAUUCAAUAAUGGCCUCUUCAAUUAUAAACUAUGGUCAAAGGGGAUGGGGUGUAGUGUCUAGGCCUCCGUGACAACGGCAUCUUUGAACGUGGGUUCCAUCAGUUUUUUUUUUUUUUUUUGACUAUUUCUGCUCAAAUCAAACUUGUGGAUUUCGUGCACUCAACGUGGAACCCUUUUGAAUGGACGCAAUGGUUUUGGUGGGAUCACACAAUCCGAAGAAGCAUGGAACUGCGACCAAUUUGUUGACAAAAAUUAGGCAUAAAAUUUACAAAUCGAAGUCAAGAGUAAGAUUUAAGUAAAAUUGAGUAACAUCUUGCACAUCGAGUAAGGAUUUCUACAAUCGGGCUAGAAAGUGCAACUAAAAUUUGGUAAGAGUUUCAUAGAGCAUAAUUUUUAAGAUACAACGUUAAGAGUAUUUAGUCGACAGUUAUAAUAUUACUUGAAUUGAUUUAAUUUCAUACUCUAAUAUAAAAAAUUUAAAACAUACUCUUAUAAUAUUACUUGAAUUGAUUUAAUCUCGUACUCUAAUAUAAAAAAAUUUAAAAUUUCUUUACUAAUUUUAUCGAAAGUAUUAUUUGACAAUCCUAUUUAUUACAUAAUAUCAACGUUUAUAUUAUAAUUACCGCUAAUACUAAAAGCUGAUCUCGUAAUUAAAAGUUAAACAAAAACUCGAGUACAAUCUAGUAAUUAAAAGCGCUAUGGUUUUUUGGCAUUACAAGAUGAUUCAAACUUGAACUUGCCAUCAAAAGUGUAUCAAAACAAUCACAGAGACUCUGUUUGACAAAUCUGCAGUAGAAUUUGCACAAUUUGACUGGGUUACAGAGAGUGAAUAAGAUUCCAAAGCAACAGGCCAUUAUUAUUAUUAAGAAAACAAUUCAUCGCUAGAACAAAAUUAACUUUUCUAACUUACUAGAAUUUAACUGGAGAAAAAUUGGAAUAUACGACGUUGUAUCACAUAUAGUAUUUAGACAUCAAGAAAAGAAUCCCUCUAUCAGUGAACUAUACUUGCCAGGAAACACGGUGAAAUACCACCACCUCCCUACUAGUUCUUAGAUGUCUCAAAAGAGUUUGAUGACGACUUCCGUGUUGUACCUCUUCGACAGGCAGCAAAAUUGGGCUAUUGACUAGGAUUAACUCCCAAGAAAUUUAUGCGGUCACCUUCUUCCGGACUAUCCUCUUUCUUCGCACUUUAGGAGCCCGUGCUUCCCCUUCAACAGAGCCGACAUUCCCUUGUUUGAUGCCAAGGAGCCCAAGCCCAGAGACAAUGGCAUUCUUUGAUAUCAACCACUUUGGGGACUUUUGAGUUGAGCCAUUGACAUCCUGAGCCGCCCCGUUGUAAGCCUUCUUCAAAAGGUCAUAUGAUUGAAGUAGCGGAUCCGCUUCCACUCCUAGCCAAGCAAGCCUUGAUCUUUCUCCUAAUUGGACAUUCAAAAAAUCCAUUUGAGAAGUUGAAGAAUAGUGUAAGUCCAACACAUAUAGGCAGUAAAGAAGAAUUUGGACGGCAAUUACUGAUUUUUUAUGCACAGGGCUGAACAAAUGGAGAUAUUAAGGCACUUAAAAGUUGGAACCGUAUUCACCACUUGUAUUUCCUUAGAGAACUAUCUCAGAGUUCAGUUAAUUUAAAACCAUUCUUAUGUAUUUAACUGUCAAACUAGAGAAAUUGUACUUCUGUAGCGAUGUCGCACUAUUGUUAAGGAUCUGGACUUGGAAAGGAUGCAAGUUGAUUAAGUCAAGAAAAAUUGAAAUAAUACUUGGUGAUAGAUCUGCACACUUCAAUAGAAACCACACUAACCUCUUAUCAGACAAAUAAACAGAUUCCCCAGUCAAAGUUUAACAAACAAAACAUUAAAACAAGGGUAAUUUGGUACGUCCAGAAUAGUCUAUCAAUGUAUAUAGAGGUGUAGAUCAAUAAACAAAUACGUAGAAGAGGGAGAGGGAGAGAUAACCUGGUAACAUCAAAAUGGUUGAAGACCGCUCUAUCAAAUCCACACAAUAGCUGAUAUCUCAUGUUUGCAUAUAGUCCAAGGAAAGCACCAAAACCAAGCUGAUCCCAUUCUUGCUUUAUCCCAUCCCGACAGAAACAAACAUUUAUUAGCUUAAUAUGUAAGAUGAAAAUAAAAAGGAAGGGAAGAGUUCCUUUGUUAUGAGAGAAAAAACACACCUCUCCUUAUGAUUCUCCAACUCCCACAAAACAGUGCAACCAAUUGUGGCAGCCUGCUCUAGUAGAAGUUUAUACAAAAAAGCAGGAUCUGCGAGCAUCCUGUGGCAACAGCAGUCAAUACAUAAGAAAUCUGAUGAGAGAUCCAACAUCUUUAAACCAAUCAAACAUCACCGAACCAUUGGAAAGUGUAUACCUAUAAUUUUUUUUUAUCCCCAAAAACUUUGUCCAAGAUAAAUGAAUGUAUAAAUCUCUUCUACUAGUCUAAGCUUUAACUGUUUUCAACUCCAAACUUCUAAAUCCAACACAGAUUCAAAACAGCCAAGAUUAAUGAGCGACAAAGCGAUAAUAACACAAAUCCCAAAGCAAUCAAAAAGCAAAACCCAAAAAAUGAUAAAUUAAAAGUAAUUCCAGGAGCUCAACAAGAAAGACUACCUGCCAAUGAAUGCCCUCGAGAUUCCCUGAGGAAGUGAACGAGAGAUGAACCUAGUAGUUGUUGGUCUGGCAUUAAUAAGACUUCAGAGGAACAUGGCAAUUAUUAUUAUUAAGAAAACAAUUCAUUGCUAAAACAAAAUUAACUUUUCUAACUUAUUAAAAUUUAACUAGAGAAAAAUUGGAAUACACGAUGUUGUAUCUCAUACGGUAUUUAGACAUCAAGAAAAGAACCCCUCUAUCUGUGAACUAUACUUGCCAGGAAAUUAACACCAGGCGAAUACCACCCCCUCCUACUAUUUAUUAGGUGUCUCAGAGCUUGAUGAGGACUUCCAUGCUGUGUAUCUUCGACAGGCAGCAAAAUUGGGCAAUUGACUACAUUAACUCCAAGAAAUUCAGAGGGCGUUAAUUAAAUACCCUUUUAACAGUAUCUUUUUAUUCUUCUCCAAUCUAACAGUUAUUUGGGAAAUCUAAAUGACAGUCAUGCAUCAAAGGCGUCAAAGUUUGGCUACAAAGCAGCCUGGAAAAGGCUUUACCCUCUGAAUGAGAGCAUGAAUUCGAAAAAUAUGAUGAAUGAAGAAACAAAGGCAUAAUACCACAAGAAGUAAAACUUUUCCCCAGAGCUCUGUUUCUGUUUAUGCUAAAGCCAAUGGAAACCGAUGGAAAUGAAUUUCUACGAAUUAGACAUAUCAGCCAAAACAGGUACUCUGUACAAGCAAAGUAAAAGAGAGUUACAAAAAAAUUUAAAUUGAUAUGAUAAUUAAAAUUUCAGUCACCAUAUAAUCAAUAGAAAACUUUGUAUACAAUGAUUUAUUGCAUAUUAAGAUUGUAUAGCUAAAUUUUAAUUGCUAUACAAAAUAUGAUAUUAGCAUUGGGAGACCGCACCAAAAAGUACCUAAUUGAAUGUGCCUUUUCACAGCCAUUGUACAAGCUUUGAAGCAUUACCACAAAUGCUUUUCAAACCCUUGAACAUGAUGCACCCAAGAGAUGCAAGAUAUGAAAUUGUUACUACAGCCAGCAUUGAAACAUAAUAUUAGCAUUAGGAGACCGCACCAAAGCAUACCGAAUUGAAUGUGCCUUUUCACAGCCAUUUUACAAGCUUUGAAGCUUUACCACAAGUGCUUUUUCCAACCCAUGAACAUGAUGCACCCGAGAGAUGCAAGCUACGAAAUUGUUACUACAGCAAGCAUUGGAGCAUUUGUUAAAAGAAGGAAGUUUAUGAAAAUAUGCCUUUGGAUGGAUACCCAUCUUCAGGAAUCAAUUCAUCCGUAACAACAAUUUUCAAGAAGUAUCAACUGCUUUAAGUUCAUCGACAUCACAGAGAACUUCAACUAAAAUAGAGCGGAUCUGGCCAUCACUAUCCCUUCUACUGCUCUUUUCCUUUAGAGAAUGCUUGAAGUACAGAAUGCGUGUAAGGGAUUCUUAUUCAAGGUCCAAUGAUCAAACCUUGCACAAUAACAACAGAGGUAGUAGUUCCUUCGCCAGCCUAAUCCUUGGUCUCAGGAAUGUCCUCAACAGGGUAUUCGAAAUCAACCUAAAAAUUAAGAAUGAGUUGGAAAACUGUUUAUGGCCCUAAAGAACUUGAAAAUCAGAAAAGAUUACGAAUGAGUGACUAAACAUUUUGAUCGCAACUAAACAUUCAAACCUUGAGAAUCUAAUUUUGAAGUACUCUUGAAUGAAUGAGCAAUUGCAGGAGAUGGUGACAACUAAGAUUACUGCGAAGUCUCUUACGAAUCCUUAAAGAUGAUACUUUACAUACCACGAUAACCUGAUAACACAGAGGAACACAAUGAACAUUAAAGUGUAUUCUGACAAUGCAAAUUUGUGGAAAUUAUCAGCUGUGGUUACCUGGACAAUAUUGCCAACACCAAGCUCCUUCCUCAAUUGAAACAUAUGAUCAGCCCACAAAUGCUUUGCUUUGUAGCUUUUGAGAGCCUGAAAUUGUUUUCACAACAACAGUGAAAAUUAGGUGAAAAAAUUGAUAAUAUUAGCAUAAUUCCAUAUGUUUAUAUAGGAUAAACCGAUCAAAGUAUGAAACAAGAUAGAAAUGAUGAUCUUAGCACCUUAACAUCAUGCAAUAAUAAUCAUCAUGUCUUUCAGGCAGCUAUCCAUCCUCAAUUGAAACAGAGCAGACCCGGCCAUCACUUCCUUCUUCAAAGUCCAGCAACCAAACGUUGCACAAUAACCACAGUGAUAAUCCUUGGUUACCCCAAUGUCCUCCAUAGAGUUUUCAAAGUCAACCUGAAAAUGAAAUAAAAAUGCAAUGCAGGUAGAAAUGAAAAUUCUAUAAAUUAAAUAAAAUAAAAAUGCAAUGCUUGAGCUUGAGCUUGCUUUAACAUCAUCAUAAUAGGGAAUUUAUAUAUAUAUAUUUACUUCUCUGUUCUUGUUUAUUCACAACAAGAUAUCAAUAGAAGAAGAUGGAAAUGAAAUUCUAUAAAAAAAAAGCAAGUGAAUUACCAGCAAAACAUUUUAGCAACCCUUUGGCUAAACUAUUCAUUUUCAUAAUCUUGCUCUCCUGGGUGCAUCAUUAGAACCAAAUUAGCGUGGACCUGCGAAUUGCUAGUGUAGUUCUGACAUUUCCUCGAAUCCCUGGUGAACAUAAUUAAACUCGUAUGAAAUAAAACAAAGUGGGCUCAUGUACUACUAAAAACAAUCACACAAUUACUUUAAAGAAUUAAUGUCACAUAAAUUAUGUAUAAAAAAACACGAUUAUCAUUAUACAAGAUAACAUUGAUAAUUUAGUUUUCAACAUUACUGCAAAUGUAUCACAGAGAUUUUGUCUCUCAGGAAGUUACACAACAAAUUUUUGUGCAUUAAAAAAUAAAAUUCGUUAGGAUUUUCUAUGAUGUUGUAUGAAAUUUUACAAAAGACUACAUAUUUUUUAAAAGAAAUUAUAGAAAUUUCAACAGACUGCACUUGUUUUUUAUUUUAUUAUUAUUUUAGCUUUAGAAAACAAGUUUAACAAAUUUGAUGACUAGGAAGUUUAAAUUUUAAAUAAUUGAAAUUAAAAUAUUAUCCUAACUAACCUUUAUGAACAAUUGAUUAAAUUUAACACUACAUAUUUAUACUAUGAUUGAUUCUGUAAUUUUUAUAAUAGCAUCAUAAAGUGACCCAUUAAAUUAAUGGUGGAAGUAAAUAGUUAAAUUCAAUACGCAAAUCAAAAUAUUAGAAAAUAUUGUAUAUUCCUGUUAGACAUUGGGCAAUAUAUAGAAUUUUAAUUCAAAAUAUGAUUAUUUUUAUUAAUUUUAUUGCAAGCAACAACAGAGUAAAUCAGUGGAGGAGGAGAAAUUACCGGCGAGUGAUAUCUUACGCCGACCGCAUGAUGUGGGGAAGGUGAGAUAUCUUAUGCCUGUCUUCUCCUUCCCCUUCUCUGUAACCCCAAAUUGUCAAUGUCUGCAGUGUCGUUGUUUGAAUUUACCACUCGAUGUGGGGAAUGUGAGAUAUCCUAUGCCAGUCUUCUCCUUUCCCCUCUCUAUAACGGUUUUCCAGAAGAGGACAUCCCUGAAUACUCAAUUGCUGCAGCGUCGUCGUCCGAAGAAGGUAAUCCGGCAGCACCUUUAAUUUGGGGCAAUACUCAAUUUCCAAGGAAGAAAGACGUGGUAUGUCUGUUGUCCUGUGAUCUUCUAGAAUGGGCAGUUCUUCCAUAAUUGGACAAUAAGAAAUACUCAAUUUCUGCAGUGUCGUCGAUUGAAAAAGGUAAUCCGGCAGCACCCUUAAUCUGGGGCAAUGCCAAAUCGUCAAGGAAGAAAGACGCGGCAUGAUGGAGAUGUUUUCCUUUCUUGUAAUCCUAUAAUUCCACUCUUCCAAUUCUUCCAUUGCCCCAACGUGGAGUGAUUUUAAUUUGGGGAAGGCAAUGACUGAUGAUGAUGAUGAAGAUGAAGAUGGGUCAUCCUCACUGCUUCCUUCGAUUCCCAAAAACUCAUUACCCACUCUUUUCACACCAUACAGGCCGUAAAGGGUGAGUUUUUGCAGCGGCAAUUUUCCCAAGGGAGGAAAAUGCUCACAGAUAACGCACGAUUUAAGUCUUAAAUCCCUUAGAUUGGUUAGUGAAGUCAACCAUUUGGGAAAUAUGUUGCCUCCGUAGGAUACAAUCCCUAAUUCUUUUACAUUCAAAGGCGGUUGUAAGGCUUCCAGAAGUUGUUGAUUCUUCCUCCUCCCUUCUUCACCUUCCACGUCAAACUCAAGAGAUAAACGAAGGAGGUUUUUCAUAUUGUGAAGUCCUAAUCUCUCAGCCUCAUCUAAAUGUGACACAUUACUCAGCCCUUCUAUUCCACAUUCUCGAAGGAGUUGAAGAUUUUUCAGAGAUUCAAGCCUACACGUACUGAUAUCAUUAACACCUCCGCCCACAGCAAACUUUUCUAAUGUUCGAAGACUGGUUAAUUUGGAAAUCCCUAUUGGCAUGUACUUCAGCGAAGGAGUGCCACCAUUCAGUAAACUCCUCAUGUUCUUUAACUUCCCAAUCCCCGCCGGCAAUUCUCUAAGAUCUUCGCACCACCUAAUAUCUAGCUUUUGUAAAUUAUAUAAUUCACACAAAGUCUCAGGCAGUAUCUCUAUACAUAAUUCAGAAAAAUUAAGAUAUUUUAAAUGUAUCAAUUUUCCGACAUUUUCUGGAAUUUCUCUAAUCAAAUUUGGGUAAGGAUCAAAUAUAAAAUUCCGUUGCCCUAUAACUAAUGCCCUUAAACACGCCAAUUUACUAAAUAACUCCGAAAGGAUGCUACUAUUAAGAGACGGAUUGGAACGACUUUGGAAAUAAAUUAGGAGGGUCCGCAAUCUAUUAAGUCCAUGAAUGGACAUAGGAAAUGAAGCUCCUCCUUCAAAAUUUAACCCUAAGUGACGGACUUUAUCACCAAAAGAGUUUAUGACUGAUUCCUUGGUACCAUUAAUUUCUACCCACAAACAUUCUUUUCUACUUACAAAUUGGGCAAAAUCAUGUACUAUGUCAUGCAUCUUGCAGCUCAUAAUAUCAUCAUCAUCAUCAUCAUCAUCAUCUUUUUUAAACUCUUGAAAGAAAGAGCGUGCUGCUAAAAUAUUGAAAUACUCUUCCCCAGUCAUCUCCAUCUCUUCGUCUUCUUCUGCAUUAAGGUAACCUUGAACCAUCCAUAGUGAAAUUAGUUCCUUUUUUUUUAUAUUGUAGUCUUUCGGAAAGACAGAACAAUAUGAAAAACAUCGUUUUACCAUAGAAUUGGAGGGCAAAUCAUUAUAACUCAACAACAAUGGAGCAAAAAGGCCUUGCCCAAUCUCUUCUACUUUCCACAUUUCACUAUCUAAAAUUUUUUGCCACUCUUUUAUUGUACUUUUAGAGCGUAAGAGAUUCCCUGUUACCUUUGCAGCAAGAGGCAGGCCUUUGCACUUGCGUGCAAUUUUUCGCCCGAUUGGUUCUAAUUUUUCACAAUCCUCGAAAGAGCGACCGGAAAAUGCUAACAUCUUGAACAACAACCAACAUUCCUCUUCAGUCAAUUGCUCAAUGAAGAUAAUAUUUGUUGAUCCCAUCAUACGUGCAACUGACUCAUUACGUGUGGUAACCAAAAUUUUACUUCCAUGGAGACCAUGCUUUAGACAAUGGAAGAAUGGUUCCCAUUUAUUAUAAUCCCCAUCCCAUACAUCAUCUAAGACAAGAAAAAAAAUUUUUCCUUCAAUUGAUCUAUGGAUAUGGCUUAGAAGAGAUUGGAAUUCGCUUAAACUAGAAGUUGACUCACCUAGACCUUCAAUGAUUGCAUUGGCAACCCUAAUCUCCUCAAAAGUGUCUGAUACACACACCCAUAUAACUUUUUCAAAAUUUCUUUUCACCUCAUCAUUAUUAUAGGCCAGUUGUGCAAGAGUGGUUUUACCUACGCCCCCUAACCCAACUAGUGAGAUGACAUGAAGGCCUUUUUGUUGUUCACUACUUUCAAACAACAACUUGCUUAAGAGCUCGUUUUUCUCGUCAACUCUACCACAGACCUCUCCCUCAUCAAUCAAGGAGGUGGUUGGCGCUUGUUUCGGUUUUUUAACACGGUUACUCACAUUCUCAACAAAUUUAAACCUAUCUUUUUGGGAGGCAAUAUCAUCUAGCUUUUCAUUGAUUUCCCUAAUCUUGACAGCAAUGUCAUGACGAAGACUGAGUUGUUUGAAACUACCAAAGCAGUUUGAUACAGCAGGAAAGAAGGAACGUACCUUCUUCUUGUGAGGAGCAAGGGAAAAAGCAUUGUCAUCAUCAACGCCCUCAAUUUGCAAUUUGAGCCUUGCAAAGACCCACUCGUCCAACACAUCUUCCAUGUCGUAGGACGCGUCUUUGAGCUGAUCCAGCCAAAAAGUAACAGCUUUGUCUUGCUGCAUUUGCCUUUGCUCGGCAUCGUCCAGCACAGCUCGAAUGGCUUGAAGAUUGCUGGUAAGCUUUUUCACUUCUUCUCGGACACCAGUCACAAGCCUCACCUGUUGUUUCACUUCAUCAGCCGCAACAGAGAUCAGCUGCUCCAGGAGAGAGGAAACGAUCGCAUCAACCAUUCUGACAAAGAAGACGAGAAUUCUGAAGAGUUAUUAGAUGUGCUUUUGUUGCGAUGAUACUGAAAGAAAAGGAGUUAUUGCAUUCUUUUAUACUGCAUAGAAAAAGCUUAUGCUUAUCCCCACCCCACACGUCAAUGAUUGUAGAACGUUUAAUUUCCCUGAUUCUACUCCACUAGUUUUCAUGCGUAAUUAUAAAUAUUCUCAAGUUAUGUAUGAAAUAGCACAAAUUUGGAUCUAAUAAUGAUUUUUAUGCUUUUUGUGUGUUCACUUUUUCAUAAUCUUCUACUUUAAAAAGUGAGCACAAAAAUAAUAUCAAGCAUUAACUCAAAUUCACAAAGGAAUAAAUGACGAAAAGAAAAAAGAUUGGAGAAAUCAUAUUGGUAAAUUAGCACAUUGUUUUUUUAAUAAUCUCGAUAAAAUUAGUAAUAUUCAUAUUAGUCCCUAAAAAAUAAAUAGAUAUGACUAAAGAAAACUCUUGGUAGUCUCCACGAUCAGAAUUUAUUGAAAUAUUUUUAGCCUAGGUAAAAAAGCAAGUUCCCAACUUCACCGUUAGGUAAAUCUGAAAUCCUUUCUCGCAGACUUUUGCACAAAAUAGAGUGUGAGUACUACAUUUUACGAUCUAACAAAAUGAUUUUUAUUAUUGUAAAACUAUUAACAAUAACCUAAAAUACUUUAUCUGCAUGUUAUUUUUAUUAUUAACAAUAAACUUUUAACAACUUUUAUGCAAAGGAGUCCCCACUCUCUACCUGGGGAAUUUGGCAUUGGAUGCAAAAAUUAUGCUUAUCUUUAAUUUCCCUGAUUCUACUCCACCGAUAAACACAUGUUCUGCACUAACAUUUUUAAAUUCCCACACAUUAGGAAUUUGGCACAUAAUAAUAAAUAUUCUCAAAUUCGUCGCAUCUUUACGUAUGAGCGAGUGUUCUGUCUAUUUCACUUUUCUAUCUUACUGCAAUUUCAAGGCGGCUCAAUCAUAUUUUAGGUCUUAAAUAAAUUGAUUUAAUUAGACUUUCUAAAAAAUUUGAGGUGAAAUAUGUGUAUUAAUUUUAUUAAAGUUUUAUUUAUUUAAAAUAAAUUUCUCUACCUUUCUGAGAUGCAAAAUUAUUAAUCAACUUUUUAUAUUCUAAUUUUGCUAAUAUAUCUUUCUCAAUAGAUAAUAUAGUUAACUUAUUUAAUCUUUCCUAUGACAUGGUUGAUCUUAAAUAAUUUUUUAUCAAUAGCACGUUUUUAGAUUAAGCUAACUUUUCUAUUCUUCUCCUUUUAUGAAGUUUUUUGUAUCAUGAUGCAUAGUUUUUAGUAGACAUUUUUUUUUUCUAAGGAAACAAGAGUAAUCAUGCAAACAAUUAUGCUAGAUAAUUAAAAGCAAACAACCUAUGAGCAGAAUAAUAUUUUUACAAAAAAACAAAAACACCUAAAUAACACAAUUAAUUAAUAAGAGAAUUGGAAGAUAAAACCUGAAAAUUUGAGAAAUUUAACUUUGAUGGAUUGAGGCUUUGAGCAACAAUGAUCAAAAGAAAGUAAAACAAUUAAUUUUCUUUUCUUCCUUAUGCAAAAAGUAAGGUAGAGAAAGUAGUUUUUUCACCAAAGCAAUGAAGGUUUUGUGUUUUUUUUAUUGGAAAAAGAUAUUAAUGGAUAAUAAUUUAAAAAAGGUGUGGCCUUUAUAGAGUUUUAAAUGAAAUAAAUGGAGGAAAUAAAUGGAUUAUAAUUGUUAAUUAUAUUGUUAAAAGGGGAUUUUGUAAGAAUCUAGUAGUUUGUUUAUGGAAAAUAUAGUUAUAAAUAAUAAAUAUAAAUCAAUAAUUAAUAACUAUAAUUUAGGAAUUAAAUUAGAAACCUUCAUUUAUAAUGGGGUCCUAGGUUAAAUGUGGGGUCCUGAACAACCACCUAAAUUAUCCUAAGUUGCCUGAGGUAAGAGCCGCUCCAAACUGUAAUGUCAGGUAGAGGAAUUCAGUUCCCCCAAGGGAUGGAAACGAUGGCAUCAACCAUUUGAUGUUCGAUUUAAAUGCUAAAUUUUACAUUUGCUUUUGUUGCGAAAGUGCUCAAGGGAAAGUAGCUUUUGUGUAUUCAGUCAGAAUGCUCAUUCAAGCAUUUUUGCAUUCUUCUUAUGCUACAUGAGAUAUUUAAUUUUUACCCUUGAGUCGAUGUCAAUGUAAAUGCUUUUAUGCUGCAAAUUAAAGAAAUCCCAAUAGCCGUCACCGUCUCGGGCUAACUUUCCGCUCCACCACAACAAUAAUUGUACAACAUCUGCCCUGUUUCUCUGAUUCAUAAUAAUUAUGCAGAUUACUCAGCACCAACAUUUGUAAAUUUCUUACAUUAUAAGUAACAAAAUAUUUGUAAACUACGACAAAAACUUAAAACAAUCUACCGAUGAACCUUCUGAAGUUAUAUAUAAUAGAUUAACUUAACCUAGAAUAAUCUUAGUGCUGUAACAAUUUCAAAAUAAAUGAUGUUUUAUUAUAAAAACAUGUCCAAGUAAUUGUCCCAUAUAAAAGGUAUCUUUCCACUUAAGAAUGUAUCAUUUCAUAUUGUCAUUUCAUUUGAAAUGGUGAUGGACCAAUUUAGACAAUUGAUUAAAAUCAAAUCUUGAUCCAAUGACCAUAAAUGAAUGGGUAUCAUGAAAAAUGACAAUCCAAAUGGAGGGCACAAGUAUAUUUAUAAAUAGAGGCCAUGUUUAGUGAAAUUCUAGUUAUGCAACCCAAGAGGGGGGGUGAAUUGGGAUUCUAAAAAUUAUUCAAUUUUUAAAGCAUGCAAAUAUAAAACGAAUUUAAAGCAAUAACAAAUAAAUUUAUCACAAUAUAAAAAGAUAAGGUAAGAGAGAUUCAAACAUAAGGAUUUUUAUGUGGUUCGGCCAACCUCGCUUACGUCCACGCCUCCAAGCUUUCUGAGCUUCAGGAUUCCACUAAGCAAGCUUCCAAGACUUCAAAUGCUUACACUUGACUUCUAAGGUGUCAAUAAACCUUUACAACAAGAGAUUAUCCCCAAUCUCUUAACCCAAGUGUAUCCCAACACUUACAAUCACUCAAUUUGAUUUUAAAGAAUGUUACAAAAUAAAUUUCUCUCACACUAUGUGUUUGAUUACAAAUGAAGACUCAAAGUGUGAGUAAAUGAGAUGAAUAUAGGAAUUUAAGGCUCAAUGAAUGUUGUAUGCUCAAGACUUUGCUCAAUAAUAAUUGUUGGAAUCGUUUUAGUUUGAAUUUGAUUGAGCAUAUUUAUUGCUGGAGCUGAAAACUAGCUAUUAUUGACUUUCUGCACACUGUCGGAUCACCGUUUUAAAUAGUCAAUAUGACCGUUGGGCUGAAUUCUUAAAUUGUUGGAUCGCCGUUAUCUAGAUGUCGGAUCGUCGUUAGUGUCCAGAGACUAAUCUUCAAUUCUGUGCAAUGUCGGUUAGCCGUUAUCAAGUUGUCGGAUCACCGCUAGUGUCCAGAGGCUAAUCUUUAGUUCUAUUCGAUGUCGGCGAGCCGUUAUCAAGAUGUCGGAUAGCCGUUUUCUACAGUAACUACUACAGGGAACUAUUUUGUAAAAUAAUAGUUUGACCCCAAAACUUCAGAAAAUUAUACUAUGACCCAACACUUUAUAAAACUUGUUAAAUAGAUCCAUUUAUAGGAUUUGAAACAAUAUUUGUUAUUAUCAAAAUUCUCAAAUCUUUUUCAAUUGAAACCAUUAACAUGAGAAUAACCAAAAAUAUUUCCAUAGAAUAUAAAGUCUUUAUAAAGUGAGAGUGAUGAUUUAAAAGUAUAUGAAAAUUAUUUUGAGCUUUUAAAAGAUUAAUCAAUCUUAAUUAAAUUUGUUAUCAUCAAAAUCAAUAAUAAAGAAAUAUUUAUGUUAGCAAUCUUCCCCUUUUUGAUGAUGACAAACUGUUCAAGAAAAUAUUUGUGCAAUUUUGCUCCCCCUAAAUAUGUGCUCCCCCUAAGUAAAAUAUUUAAGGAAUUUAACUUCCCCUAAAUAUGUGCCCAUCAAUUUUUAAUCUCAUAAAAAAAAAUUUAAAUAGAACAGAUUGAAUCGAUAAAUUAUAUCAUCAAUUUUUAAUCUCAUAAAAAAAUUUUAAACAGAACAUAUUGAAUUGAUCAAUUAUCUCCCCCCUUAAUCAUAAAAAAGAAAUGAGCACAAAAAGAGUAAAAAUGAGAAGUUCAGAGAGUACCCAUGUUGGAAAAAUUUUGGCAGAAUCUCCCCUUAAAAAUGAACAUAUCCUCAACAAUACAAAUAGUUAAAACACUCCCAUAUAUACAUUCCAACUUAUCAACCAACCUCCAUUCCAACGAAUUCAAUAUAAUCAUGAACAAUAACCAAACAUGUCAUCAAAAUCAACGAAAUCAUAAAUUGUAAUACCCCACACCCGAUUUUGACCCUGUUGACCACCCUUAUAAAUUGAGAGAGAGAGAGAGAGAGAGAAAGGAAAGAGAGAAUAGAAGAGAGAGAGAGAGAGGGGAGAAACCGAACCGGAUCCAACCCGACCCGCGAGCGCGACCCGGCCGGUUCUCCCAUUUCUGGCCACCAUUCCGGUCAAGGUUGGUACCGAUUUGAAGCUUGAGAGACGAGCAACGUAUCCAUGCCGUCCUUGCCGCCGGAAAUCGAUCGGAAAGCCACCGAUCGAAGCUUUGAAGUUCCGCGGAAUCGCCGCCUCGAUUCACUGUGAUUUCGCUGGUUUCUGGUGAAGGCAUCACUUGGGUUUUGUUCCUUCGACCAUUUCCGACUAACCACUCACGUUGGGGACGUCGUUUUGUCGUUGGUCGGCCGUUGAAGGAUUCAUGACUUCGGGAGCUCGAUCUGAAGCCAUCACCGCCCGUGGGAGGUCACCACCGCCACCAUUGGACUCAGCGUGGCUUGAACUUUCAGUUCUGAGCUUCCCGUUGCCGUCGGUUGAAUUCUGGUGACCGUUGACCAGCAAGGGUAUUUCAGUAAUUUCACAAUCUAAGGGCAAUUUUGUAAUUUCAAAUUUUGUGGGUAUUUUAGUAAUUGUUGAAAUUGAGGAUAAACUUGGUAAUUUAUGAUUUUGAGGUUAAUUUGGUAAUUUUGAUAUUUGAGGGUAUUUUGGUAAUAUUGAAUUCAAGGGCAUUUUGGUAAUUUUGAUCUUUGAGGGUAAUUUCAAAAUUUCAAGAAUUAUCAGUAUUUUGAUGAUUUAUGAUUUAAAUUAAGAUUAUUUGAGGUGAAGUAUGAAAUGUGAUUAUAUUGAGGAAUUUGAGAAUAUUGGAGUAUAUGAUUAUGGUUUAAUUUUAUUCUUAUGAGAGUAUUUUUAUUUAUUUUUAGGCCGAUGAUAUCGAUGUGCAUUUGUUACUCAAGGAUACCAGGAGGUAAGUAAACUAGAUUUCCAAACGAAUCACAAUAAACAAUAUAUAUGUUUGACAUGUUUGGAAAGCCUAUUUUUAUAUAAGUACGGAUAUUGAUUUAUAUGCUCUGCCCAUGUGUUUAUACGAUAUGUUGAUAUGAUGUGUUGUUAUGUGUGUUUAUGGACAUGGGCAUACGUAUGUGUGAAUAUUUCAUUGGCAUGAGCACGAAAUGCAUUAUGUUUUCUAUAAAAUGAGAAAGUGAAUUUUAGCCAAAUGGAAUUUGUAGAAAGAAAGAUUGUUUUACAGUUUUAGCUUGGAUGCUUGAAUUCGUUAUUGGCUUAGUGGAAGACACUCUAGAUGUUUAUAUAGUUAUGAGAUAAGUGGGCGAAGGACGCAUUGGCGAGAAGCCCAAAGAGUAUGAAAGUUAUGAAAAUUAUGAAAGUUAAGGGAGUGUCCUACUAAGCGGUAAUCGAAUAAAGGUAGCUCAAGUAAGUGGUUUGAAAGAGAAUGUGAAAGUUUGAGAAAGACAUAAUGAGAUUUCAAUUAUUUUUUUUACGAUGUUUUCGAAUAUCAUGGCACGUCAUUCAUUUGCACUAUCUAUAUGUAUGUAUGUAUUUUGGUAUAUGCAAAACUAGUUUACUUAUUGAGUUUCGUACUCAUUAUAGUUUAUUGUGAUUCAGUUUCCGUAAAUCAGGAUUGAUUCGUGAUGAUCGUCGAGAAGGACUUGAAUGGAGGAAUUAGAUGGUUUGGCAUGAAUUUUAAAUUCUUCCGCUGCAGUUUACGUUUUAUAUUUGUAUUUUCAAGGAUAUAAUUUUUAUGGAUUGUAAAAGGAUUAUUAUUAUUUAUUAUUAUUUUAUUUUUAAGCAUCUAUCAGUAAGAUUCGCCCUGUGGAGGUCGGGGUGGGUCGUUGCAUAAAUAAAAUUCACAUAUCCAAUAAAAACAUCAUAAAAGCAUCACAAGAACAAUAAAAAAAAAACAAAAAGUACCACAACAAACUACAUGAAAUGAGUAAUGUUUGUGCGAAAAUCAUAGGGGCAGAAAAUUAAGAUGGGGGCGGUGAAGAGGAACUUCCGGGAUCAUAGCCAAGGCGACCAAGAAUACGGCACUGUCCAGCAAGUAACUUCAUCUGCUGAUUUAAUAUCUGCCGCCGAAAAGUCACAAAAUCAGAUUGAAGCUGCUGCUGCUACUGGGAGAGUGUAUCCAUCUUGUCGAAGAGCUGCUAAAAGCGGUCCUCAGAAGCAGAAGAUGCUGCAAGAGGGAUGGCUGGCUCAGUUGGCUUGUCAUCCGAAGAGGAAGCUGCUGCGGAUGCUGCUGCUGUUGCUCGGCGAGGGGCACGCGGUCUAGCCCUAAGGCGGAAGUCGGGUAACUCACCCUUGAAAUAGACAUCAUUUAGCAUGCUAUCAUCCUCUGGAGCAAUAAAAGUGUCUUCAUUCUUAGAGGAUGUUGUCUUUUCCCACUUCCCAUUCUUCUUAAAAAAUCCGAUCGCAGACAUAAUCUCUCGACCGAGCUUUCGGGUCUCGAGAUAAACAGGCUUAGUGGUUAAUGGGCCAAGAGUGAAGCACUAUAUGGGAGAUGAGGUGAACAGCCUAAUGAAGGAUCGGUUCUUAAAGGAUCGAGGUUGAGGAAACAAGAAAGGUCAGGCUUAAAGACCUAAAAUCAAGCGCUAAUUGGGAGGCAACCCAAUAAGGGAAGUUGUUUUAACUUUUUAAAGCAUUAAAUUUAGUUUUUAAAUUAUUGAAUUUGUCUUGCUGUUAUUUUAAGUGUGCAUCCAAUUUUUUAUGUCUUUGUGUUAAAUUGCAGCAGGUAAAAAAAAAACAAAAAAAUGCGAAAAAAAGAGUAGCAAAGAAUUACUGCAGCAUCACUUACAGCAUGACAUAUAACAGAAGAUUCUCAAACAAUAGAGGCAUUUCUUGCUUUUGCAGCAGUAAAUGGAUUGAUCAGAUUUUAUGAUAAGGAGCGUUUGAGAAGUAUAUUAAAGAAAAAGUGACCUUUUACAGCCUAUGCUGCAACAGUGCUUCCAGUAACCGGGCAGUACCCCUAACCGCUAGUUUAUUUUACUUCUUGCUGCAAAACUUUUCUUUCAUUUAGUUUUAAUUUUCUAAUUCAUUCUGCAUGUCCUUUUAUUUAGUGUAUACAUGUCUGGUUUAUGUGGUUUUGUUUUGUGUGCUUGUGAGGACACAACAUCACUCAAGUUUGGGGGGGUUAUGUUUCUGAGUGCAUGUAUUUAUGCUUGUGUUGUAUGAAGCUUUGUUAUCUAAUAUUUGUGUAUGAAUUUGAAAACCUAAUGAAGAUAAAUUGAGUGCUAUUCAGUAUUUAUGAGAAAGCGAAGUAGAGAUAGUUAUAGAUGGGGGUUGAACUUCUGUCCCGACACUUAGACUUUGGUUGAGUUUUACGAGAAUGCAGUAGCAGAGCCAGGAAAACGAAAAAAGAGUAGAAAAUAUCUAAAGUUUGGGGGAAAAUUUUUGUUGAACUGUGCUUGUUAUGAAAUAAAUUUUGCUCCAAUGGCUUAAGUUGUUGAGUAACCAAGGUUGAGUGUGUACCCCAUAUGCAAACUUGAGUCCAAAGGUAGAAAGAGUUAUGAGCAAUGCUGCAGCAAUUAUAUAUUGAAACAAAAGAAAAAAUGGUGAUGAAGGAAUGAAAAAUAAAGAGGUCCGCUGUCUAGGAUACUGAGUAAUUUGGUCUGUUCAUGAGCCCCAUGUUCAGCCUUGAGUCAAAGGCGUCCAAAGGCAAGACCUAGAUAUAACAUCCUAAAUGUGUUGCUGCAGUAACUCUGACAUGUACUUUGAGUGAGUAAUUGGGUGUCGUCAUUACAAGUGAUGGGCACUCACAUGAAAGCUCAAUGUUGCAUUGAAGGGUUUAACUGAAAAAAAAAGUAUUAUUAUUGUAGCACAGUUUGAGUUUAUUUCUGAAUUUUACUCCCUCAUAUGUGAAUAUAUUUGUGUUCUAUCUCUGAAUUAUAUGCCUGUGUAAUGUUGUAGCACCUCUGAAACUUGAUCAAAGUGGCACACACACACUCUGCACAGAAUGAAGCCUAGUUCGAGAACUAAACUAUUAUGGUUAUUUUGCGUGAUUAAGAAUGUGAUAUGAGGGUUGAAGAAUCCUUACAAAUUUGAUGACAGAGCUAAGUUAUUUGUUGAAUGAUUGUGUGAUUGAAGUGUUAGUGUUAUUGUCAUUACUUGAGGACAAGUAAUGGUUUAAGUUUGGGUGUGUGAUAACUCUAUAAAAUGAGAGUUAUUAUGGCACUUUUAGACUUAAAUCAAUAUGGUUUAAAGAGUAAAUGAUGUGUUUCUAUUGUAUUUUGUUACAUUUUGCAUAAAUAUUCAUUUUAAUUUAGUCUUAAUAAGUUUUGCUCGAUUUAAAGUAAUUUGUGCUCAAAUUGUGUGCAAAAUUGUAGGUUUCCAGAAGUUUAUAAUUCAUGGAAGGAAUGCUAUGCAAUAAGGUUGCAAAAAUAAGGAAAGAACAUGGCUAAAAAAGAGUUGAAACAAAUCUGAAACAAUGCAGUUGCUGUAGAUAUUGCUGUAGCAACCAUUGCUGUAGCAAUCCUGGAACAACGACAGAGAAAAUUUCGCGCGGGAUACUUGCAGAAUUGCGAUCUGCAGUUUCCUAAUCAGACUUAUGCGCGCCCUAGGGUUCCGUUUACCCUAAUUUUCAACUAUAAAAGAAGCACACAUCAUAAGGAAAAGAGGGAGCCGUCACCCAAGGAGAAAAACACAAAGAAACAAAAGAAAAACAAGAUUCAAGAGAGAAAUUAAGGGCUGCACAAGAGGAGAAUUUACAGAAAUCAAUUGGGAGCUCAAUCCUUCUUAUUCUUCUCUUGUUUUCGUGUUUUCUAUUUAUACAUGGGGAUGCAUUUCAUGACUGAAACUUUGUUCUUUAUUUUUUUUUUUUUUUGCAAACCAUGAACUAAAUUUAUUUGUGGUUGAGUGAUAAACAAUCUUGAUGGUUUAUUGAUUGAAUACAUGUGUUGUUGCAUGUUUACUGUAGCAGUUUGUUUUGAUAGUAUUUAUUUUUAUUCAUUAUUUCGGUUGAUCACCCAUUUAAUAAUACAAGUUAGGAGAGAGCCGCAAAAGGGCCUAUCUUAGUGGAACAUAUCAGAGCAAUACUUGGUUUAGAUUGAGUUUCCUGGAUUGAGUUUAACUUAUUCCAAAAGGGCCAUGCUUCAUUUAAAAUUAGUGAUGAACUAGACAUAUGGAUUCACCUUGUAGGGUGAAUAGAAUCUAAGCGUGUAAUACUAUAUCUUAUGUUGGCAUAACAACUGAUCACUGUUAGGUUACAUAUAGAUAUAAGAUAUCCAACAUGCGACAGCUGAGGAUACAUAAGGAUUCUGCCCAGUGUUGUAGCAAAUACUGCAGCAACCGAGCCAACCAUUAGAAAAUAGUCAAGACCAUUAGGAGAGUUUAGUCACUCAACUACUAUAUAUUUCCAUUAGUUUUAUCAUUGAGCUUGAUGUGAUAGUUUACUUUGUUGCAUUUAUUUAUUGUGUUUUUAUUUUAAUUAGUACAUUAGUUUCAUUAAUUGUUUAUUUUAUUUUAGCACAAAAUCUGCACUGUUAAGAUUGUUGUAGCAAAUCUGAUAACAUCAAUCCUUGUGGAGACGAUCUUGAAUACUCAUCACUUUAUUACUUGUUGUGUACACUUACACAUUGACACCAAUAGCAUUAGUAUUUAUACACCAACAGUACCUAUGACAGAUUGAUGUUCCGGUUUAGGAACUAAUUCCCACACAUUGUUUCUUUUAAAUUGAUUUAACUCCUCUUGUAUUGUCAUAAUCUAAGAUUCAUCAUUUUCCGCAUCCUCAAAGGAUUUGGGUUCAAUUUGAGAAAUAAAUGCAUUAUGCUCACAAGUAUUCCUAAGUGAUGAUCUAGUUGUAAUACCUCGUGAGGGAUCUCCUAAAAUUACAUUCUUAAGGUGAGAAGAAACAUACCUCCACUCUUUUGGGAGUGAUUGAAAAGUACCUUCAUUUUACUCUACAUUUGUUUCUUUAUGUUGCUCAUCUUGAUUCCCAUGAGACGCAUCCUUUUGGUUAUCUUUUGAUGACUCUUUUUGUAAGUCUUCAUCUGCAUCAUUAUCAACAACAACUUUCUCCGUAGAGGAGGGGUUAGAUUCAUCAAAUAUAACAUGCAUCGAUUCUUCUACAACUAGAGUUCUUUUGUUAUAAACUCUAUAAGCUUCACUUGAGUUUGAAUAUCCAAGAAAAAUACCAACAUCGGAUUUUGAAUCAAAUUUGCCAAGAUUAUCUUUUGUGUUCAAAAUAAAACAUUUGCAUCCAAAAACUUUGAAAUAACCAAUAUUGGGUUUUCUAUCUUUCCAAAGCUCAUAUGGAGUUUUAUUAAGAUUAGGUCUAAUCAACACAUGAUUUAAAACAUAACAAACGGUGUUGACGGCCUCGGCCCAAAAAUACUUAAGCAAGGAAUUUUCAUUCAACAUAGUCCUAUCCAUUUCUUAAAUUGACAUAUUCUUUCUCUCAACAACUCCAUUUUGUUGUGGAAUUCUAGGUGAUGAAAAUUGAUGCACAAUGCCUAGAUUAUUGCAAAAGGUUUCAAAUGCAUAGUUUUCAAACUCUCCUCCAUGAUCACUUCUAAUGCAUGCAAUACCAUACCCUUUUUCAUUUUGAAUUUUCUUACAAAGUACUUUAAAAGCAUCAAGAGCAUCAUCCUUAUUAAUUAAGAAUAAUACCCAAGUGUAUCUUGAAAAAUCAUCAACAAUUACAAAAGCGUAAUAUUUUCCAUUCAAGCUAGCAUACCUUGAAGGUCCAAAUAAAUCUAUAUGAAGUAAUUGAAGCGGUUUUGAAGUAGAAAUAUAAUUUUUACUUUUAAAAGAGGUUUUGAUUUGUUUACCAAAUUGGUAUGCUUCACAAAUUUUAUCUUUUUGAAAACCAAUUUUUGGAAGACCUUCAACUAAAUCAUUUUUGGAAAUCUUUGAAAUUAAAUCCAUGCUUGCAUGUCCUAGUCUUCUAUGCCAUAACCAACUAUCAUCAUGCAAUGCCGAAAAACAUUUAUCAUUAGUGGAUGCACAUUCUAUGUCAAUGGUAUAAACAUUACCACAUCUAUUUCUAAUAAAUAAAAUCUUGUUAUCACAUGCAUUCUCAAUAAUACAUUUAGAUUUAUCAAAAGUAAUUUUAUAACCUUUGUCACACAAUUGACUAAUAUUAAUCAAAUUGUGUUUCAAGUUUUCAACUAAACAUACAUUUUCAAUUAAAGUUGACGAAAUUUUACCGACAUUUCCAACUUCGAGAAUCUUUCCUUUUGAGUUAUCUCCAAAAGAAACAUCUCCACCAUUUUUGAUUGUGGUGAAACUUGAAAACCAUGCAUAGUUUCUGGUCAUGUGCCUUGAGCAACCACUAUCCAAGAACCACUUAUUUUUCUUUUUCUUUAAUCCCUGCAGAAAAAGUUUCUAAGUUUUAGGUACCCAAAACUUCUUGGGUCCUUGUAUGUUAGCAAUGGUUCCUUUUGGAACCCAAAUACAUUUCACACCAUAAUAUGCAUUUCUUUUUACUGGACAUCUAUUUUUCAUGUGUCCAUCUUGAUUACAAUGAUGACAUACAAUUUGAUUGUUAAUAGAAGUACUUUUCACAAAGUAGUUUUUAUAAUAUUUUUGUUUUAAGUUUGGCUUAUAUCCAAUACCUCCUUUAUCAAACACACAUUUUUGUGAAUUGAGCAUGUUUUCCAACAUCUUUUGUCCAUUUGUAAACUUUAGCACAAUUUCAUUUAGUUCAUUAUUUUUCUUCUUAAGCACUUCAUUCUCUUUCAUUAACUCAUCCACAUGUGAUUUUUCAUGUUCAUAAGUGCUUUGUUUACCUUUAAGAGCUAAAGUUUUAUCAUGCAACAUUUUAUUCUCUAAUUCUAAUUCUUUUAUCUUCUCAUUAUUGCAUUUUUCCAGGGCAUCUUUUUCAUUUGUAAGUUCUAGCAUUUUCAUUUUAAGGCAUGCAUUCUUUUUACCAAUUUUCAUCAACUCAUCAUGUAAUUCUUUAAAAGCAUCAUACAACUCAUCAUAGGUAGGAUCACUUACCUCAUUGAGAUCAUCAUCAUCUCCUAUUGCCAUAAGUGUUAGGUUUGAUGCUUCAUGCAAUUCAUCUUCAUCACUUGAAUCUUCAUCGCUAUCAUCCUAAGUAGCAACCAUGGCUUUCUUCUUGAAUUUGUUGAGAAGUGGGCAUUCCGAUCUUAUAUGGCCGGGCUUUUAGCAUUCAUAGCAUAUGAUUGCCUCUUUCUUCUCCUUUUGAUUCUUGAAGUUUCUAAAUCUUCUUCGCUCACCGGUUUUCUUGAAGAAUUUUCUAAACCUCAUUUCUAGCAUGGCCAACUCCUCAUCAUCCGGUUCACUUUGCUCAUCACUCUCAAAUUUUGAAGCUUUGAGAACAAUACUUUUCCCUUUUUUCGGCUGCUAAGUCUUCUUCAUAUGAAAUAAAAGAGCCAAUUAAAUCAUCAAGAGGUAAAGUAUUUAAAUUUUUGGCCUCUUAAAUAGCAGUCCUCUUAGGUCUCCAUUCCUUAGGAAGUGACCUAAUGAUUUUCUUUACUUUCUCACUAUUUGAGAAAACUUUUCCCAAAGCUCCUAGGGUGUUCACCAUGUCCGUAAAUCUAGUAUACAUAGAAUACACAUUUUUAUUUUGUUCCAUUUGGAAUAAUUCAUAUUGACGAGUGUAUCUACUAAUUUUAAUCUCUUUAACUUGAUUUGUCCCUUCAUAAACAACUUCAAGUUUAUUCCAUAUUUCUUGUGCACUUUCACAACUAGAUACUCUAUGGAAUUCUUUCUUAUCAAGAGCACAAAACAAGGCAUUCAUUGCCUUGGAGUUUAAGGACAUCUUUCUCUUUUCUAACUCACUCCAUUGACUUGAUGGUUUAGGAAUAUCAUCUCCUUCAUUUUUAAACAUAGGCAUGAAUGGACCAUCAUAAACAACUUCCCAAAUUUCAUAAUCUAAAACUUGUAAAUAGAUUCUCAUCCUAGUUUUCCAAUAUGCAUAGUCAUUACCAUCAAAGAACGGUGGUCCAGUUGUGGAUUGUCCUUCUCUAAAGGUUGAGUCAUUUAGGGUUGCCAUUGAUCUUUUACUCUAGAUGAUUACGUCCUAACAAGAGAAUAAGGCUCUAAUACCAAAUGAAAUUCUAGUAAUGCAACCCAAGAGGGGGGUGAAUUGGGAUUCUAAAAAUUAUACAAUUUUUAAAGCAAAACUCAAUGCAAAUAUAAAACGAAUUUAAAGCAAUAACAAAUAAAUUUAUCACAAUAUAAAAAGAUAAGGUAAGAGAGAUUCAAACAUGAGGAUUUUUACGUGGUUUGGCCAACCUCGCCCACGUCCACGCCUCCAAGCUUUCCGGGCUUGAGGAUUCCGCUAAGCAAGCCACCAAGGCUUCAAAUGCUUACACUUGACUCCUAAGAUGUCAAUAAACCUUUACAACAAGAGAUUAUCCCCAAUCUCUUAACCCAAGUGUAUCCCAACACUUACAAUCACUCAAUUUGAUUUUAAAGAAUGUUACAAAAUAAAUUUCUCUCACACUGUGUUUGAUUACAAAUGAAGAUUCAAAGUGUGAGUAAAUGAGAUGAAUACAAGAAUUUAAGGCUCAAUGAAUGUUGUAUGCUCAAGACUUUAUUCAAUAAUAAUUGUUGCAAUCGUUUUAGUUUGAAUUUGAUUGAGCUUAUUUAUUGUUGGAGCUGAAAACUAGCCGUUAUUGACUUUCUGCACACUGUCGGAUUGCCGUUAUCUAGAUGUCGGAUCGCUGUUUUAAAUAGUCAAUAUGACCGUUGGGCUGAAUUUUCAAAUUGUCGGAUUGUCGUUAUAUCUAGAUGUUGAUCGCCGUUAGUGUCCAGAGACUAAUCUUCAAUUCUGUGCAAUGUCGGUUAGCCGUUAUCAAGUUGUCGGAUUGCCGUUAGUGUCCGGAGGCUAAUCUUCAGUUCUGUUCGAUGUCGGCGAGCCAUUAUCAAGAUGUCGGAUCGUCAUUUUCUACAGUAACUACUACAAUGAACUAUUUUACAAAAUAAUAGUUUGACCCCAAAACUUCAUAAAAUUAUACUAUGACCCAACACUUUAUAAAACUUGUCAAAUAGAUCCAUUUACAAGAUUUGAAACAAUAUUUAUAUCAAAAUUCUCAAAGCUUUUUCAAUUGAAACCAUUAACAUGAGAAUAACCAAAAAUAUUUCCAUAAAAUAUAAAGUCUUUAUAAAGUGAGAGUGAUGAUUUAAAAGUAUAUGAAAAUUAUUUUGAGCUUUUAAAAGAUUAAUCAAUCUUAAUCAAGUUUGUUAUCAUCAAAAUCAAUAGUAAAAAAAUAUUUAUGGUCACAACUUUUAUACGUUGGCAAAAAAUAUUACAUUUCUUGUUGACAAGCCUCAAUGUUGUUAAUGUUCUUACAAUAUCAAAGCCUGAAGAACGUGAGAAUGAGAAACUCGAGUGUGGCAAAAGUGGAAGCAAGAUGUCUACGUGUGCAUAAGACACAUUUACAAUGCCGUGUCUAGUACUUUGUUUUCAUAAGUACCACAACAAAAUCCACUGCAAAAGAAAUAUAAGACUUAUUGGAGUCUAAGUACAUGAUGGAAGACACCACAAGUAAGAAAUUCUUGACUUCUAAUUUUUUUUAGUUUUAAAAAGAUUGACAAUAGACUUGUGAUGGAACAAUAUAAUGAGAUUUUUUGCAUUCUUGAUCAAUUCAACCAACACAACAUGAAAAGUAAUAAGUUUAUUAUUAUUUCUUCAAUUAUUGAUAAACUUCCCCCCUCUUGAAAAGACCAUGAAAAAAGUCUUAAAUAUAACAAAGAGGAAGUUAGCCUGGAAGGCUUGGCAAAGUCUUCAUAUUGAAUAGAAACUUAAACUUAAUAGUCUUGAGGAACAGACUGCUAUGUCCUCUGAAAUUAAUGUUGUGGAGGAGGAGAAGGAGCUUAAGCAGUCUAAUACCCGCAUUAAUAACAAAAGCAAAAAUUUGAUUCGAAAUAGAAUCAAACCAACAAAAUAAAAAAAUAAAAAAAGAAGUGUACAUGCCACCAAUGUGAAAAGCCUAGCCACUUUAAAAAAGACUGACAAAGCAAAAGUUUGAUUCCAAAUAGAAUCAAACCAAUAGAAUAAAAAAAGAAGUGUACAUGUGACCAAUGUGAAAAGCCUAGCCACUUUAAAAAUGACUGUCAGCUUCUUAAGAAAGAAAAGAAGUGCUCGAACACAAAUUUUGUGGACAAAAUUUAUGGCCAUAAUAUCUUAGAUUAAUAUUCUCGAACAUGAUAAUGCAUGGUGAAUAGAUUCCGGUGCAAUCAAGUAUGUGUACAAGAAUCGUAGGCUUUUCACAUCUUACAAAGCAAUGGAUGAUUGAAGUGUUCUUUAGAUGGGAAAUUCCUCCAUUGCAACAAUUAGAGGGAAUGUGCAACUAGAGUUCACUUGUGGAAAAAUGUUAACUCAUAUUGAUGUUUAUCAUGUAUCUAAAGGUAGGAAAAAUCUUGUAUCUAUAUUAGGGUGGUACCGUAUUUGAGUCAAAGCAAUUUUGCAUUGUUUAAGGGUGGUACCUUUAUUGGGAAAGGAUACAUGUAUUUGGGAAUGUUCAAGCUCAAUAUUAAUAAAAUUAAUGUUUCUUCUUCUUACAUGAUUGACUCAUUAUCUUUGUAGCAUAUUCAUUUAGGACAUGUGAAUAUUAAAAGAUUGCAUGUUAUAGCUAAUUUAGAAUUAAUUUUUAAACAUGGAAAUAAUGAUACUACAUCACUCUCUUCUCAACCCUCUUUCCUGAAACAAAUUUUAUUGUAUAACAUCUAUACUAUAUCCAUCAAAUAUCUAAUAUAUUGUUUACUAUAGGAAUAAUAUAUUGAUUCUCGAAAAGCUUGCAACAUUCAAAAGUAUUCAAGUUUGCUUUCAUCGAUGAAAAACACAUGCAAACAAAUAAGUGAUUCAUUGUAUCCUGGAGGUAUAUAUGUUUAGCCUAUAUGCAUCACUUAAUUGGUGGGACAAAUGAUAUCUUUAGGAAAGCGACAUUUGUAAUGUGCCUUGAAGUACACAUUAAUUUUCUACAAUUUACCUAUUACUAUGAUUUUAUUAUACUCAGGGACGUAGCUGUUGUGCAAAUUUUAAUGUACUCGCAAGCGCACGAAUCUAUCGUAGUAUAGACUAAUGGUGACGAGUGUCGAUCCCACGAGGAGGUGGAUUUUAAUUAUAUGUAGAAUUAAUUUUGUAAAUGGGUGGUUGGAAUUGUGGUGGAAGUGAUUUAAAUUAUCCUAAAAUUGGAAUUGAAAUGGCGAUAAUAAAUUCUAAAAUUGGAAUUGCAAUGACGAGAGUAAAUUGAAGAGAAAUCUAUUGAAAUAACGUACUUGGGUAUCUGGAUCCGUAUCAACAUGCAUCAUGGGCUAAAUAAUCUGUAUUAAUGCCAAUUAAAUCAUGAGGGGGGAAUCCACACCUCAUGAACCACGCUCUAAUCAAUAUGGUGCUAAGGGCUUAUCGUGCCAAAUAAUAAUAACCUUAUACUAGAGAGCCGGUGUAACCAAGGCGGUAUCUAGACAAGAUCAGUAUUAUUUGUCAACGAUAAGUCAAAUCAUCCACAAAAACUAGAGGGGAAAAGAAAAUAAAUUUACCAAAUAAAGCCCAUGACACAUGUUGAGACUUCACCUUCAACCCAAGCUUGAAAGCAAACUAGCCACUCAUAAUUGAACUAGGGGCAAAAUAGGAAUUUAUUAAAAUACAAAGAAAAUACAAGAUGGAGAGAGAAUUACAGAAAAUGGAUCCCAAAAAUGGAUUCAGAGAUAUCCAAUUAGGGGGAGAGGCCCCCUUUUUAUAGAUACAUGGAGUAAAUCAUGGCCAUCGGAUUAAAAACAGUUUAGACGCUCAGGAUUGUGCCACGUCAUCAGUCAACAGUCCACGGUUUGACCACGCGGAUGAACAGUAACACGGUUUGACCGGACUUUGAACAGUAACGCGGUUUGACCCGGAUGAACAGUAACGCGGUUUGAUUGAAAAUAAUCCUGUGUGAUGCAUGUACCGUACGCGAGAUUUUUCAUCCACUGAUAUGCUGCCACGUCACCAUCAACAGUACAUAAGAAUUUUAGCCCAACAGGAUCGUGACACCUCAUCAGUCAAUGCCACAUCAUCGGUCAAUGCCACGUCAUCGAUCCGUCUAUGUGAACAGUGUUGUGAACAGUAACGUAGUUAGUACCGUACACGUGAAUAGUACCGUACAUAUGAAUAGUGCCAUUUUUCCUUUUAUGCUCCUCUUAAGGUUUUCGACUGUCCUGAGUUCAAAAGUGAUGUCCGUUUUGCCGUCUGAUCUCUCCUUUAUUGUGAAAUGACUAUAAUGCCCCUAAAAUACAUAAAUUACUUAAUUAAAAUAAAACACACGUAAUUAAAUCACAAGAAUGUUAAAUACAUAAAAGUAACGGUUGUUAGUAAGACUUGAAAUGUAAAAUGACGGUUUUCUCCUUUAUAAAUAUGCAUUUUAUAACACUCAACACACCCCCCAACCAGCUUAUUGUUAGUCCCUAGCAAAUAAAGCGAAAACAAAAUUCAAAUUCAAAAUGAUUUUUUUUUUUUUUUUGAAACACUCGUAUUUAUUCAAUCAUAUUAAUGAUAGCAAUCAAAUAAAAGUAUAAGCAUUAUCUCCAGUCUAAAGCAACAUCACACCCACAUCAACCAUCCACAUGAAUCGGCCCAGUAGACUUUGUUAUAGCUACUUUCAAGAAUGACAUGUCAAACCCCAAAAUCUCACUGGAAGUAGUGACACUCUCACAAAGAAAUUAAAACCCAAUAAACAUAGUCACUCCAAUGAAUGGUAAUUGAGAAAGAAAAUAAUAAAGAAAUGAUAUCACAUGCUCUCACCAAGAUGAAAUAAAUAUGCCCUCAGCUUAGAAAUAAUACGAUCUCAAGUCAAAUAAAAUGUUAGUCAACCCACUUUAUUUAUCUUUUUUUUUUUUUUUUUUAUGCAUCACUACAUCUUUUUAGCCCAUAUAACUAGCUUCUACUUCAAACUAUAGUUCCCUAAAAUCAAGAAGGACUUUUAUUAGGACGUAACGUAGGCUAGGGAUAUGGCUAACAAAGAAAGGAAAUAAGGAAAACAAAGUGUAUGUUUGAGAAAAAUGCAGAAUUUUUUUUUUUUUUUUUUUUUUUUGGAAGUUGCAAGGUGGAUUUCACCUAUUAUUGUUAUUUUUAUUCUUUUGAAACAACAACUUUUGUUUUGUUUUUUUUUUCUUUUUGCUUUUAUUUGGCAUAACUUCACUGAACAACAUAAUUAUUUACAUUUUCUCAAACAUAAAUAGGUGAUGGAACUUAAAAGACAUUGGGUAAUACUCCAAAUCGGAGUGGGUCAAGAUGAUAAGUUGACAAAGAAAAGGUUUUUGUUCUUUUUUUUUUUUUUUUUUUUUAAAGGCUCAAAAGGGGUAACUAUGGAUAUUUAAUAAAAUGGAUGGCUAGAAAGGCUCAAACGGAUCAAAGAUGGCCUUUCCAUCGUCUUCUAGGGCUCUAAAUAAUUAUCCAUAUCUACUAGUUAGAUGGGCCUCCCAAUGUAGCAACACACAUUUUUUUCUUUUUCUUUUUUUCUUUUUUUUUAAUUUUACCAUUUUUUUUUAAAGGGUUAACUUAAAAGAAAUCUAGAGAUCGUGUAUAAAAUAAUAAACUGCUAAGCUGUAUAGAGAAUGGGCAAAAGGGUUACUCUCCAAGAAAAUGAUAGGCUCAACAACUCACUUGGCACUUAUUUAUGACAUGUUCAUUCCUUCAAGCAACUCAUAUUUGUCUCCGACAUCAACAUGUAAAGUAGCAAACAUAGCGUAACAUCACUUAAGUCCAAAGAUAAUACAAAUACUAAAAUUUGAAAUUAAUCAUGUCAUCCAAUGUUAAAACAAAUAACACAAUUUUUUUUUUUUUUUUAAACAACAUUCUACCCCCCAACCUAUUCUAAGCAUGAAAGGAAAAUAUGCAUGCAGAAAUGUGAAAAUGAUGCAUAAAAACUAAUUAGAAAAGUUACACGUAAAAUGAUAGAAAACGAAAAUGAUUUUUUUUUUUUUUAAAGAAGAUGCGUUUCUAGAGGAACUACACUCCAUAUUCAGCCAUCUUCGACUCAAAAGUUGGAAAAUGUAUAUUUAUAGAGGAGAAAUUAAAAAGAAGAAAAAUAAACAUAAACACAUAAUAAAGAAAAAGAAAAUGUCUGAAAUUUUUUUUUUCUUUUUUUUUUUUAGUUAUUUUUUUAUUAUUAUUUUUUUUAAACGAUGAAGAUGCGUUUCUAGAGUCACUACACUCCAUAUUCAGCCAUCUUCAACACAAAAAGUUAGCAACAGUUAGUUUCUACAACAAAAAAUUAGUAAAAACUUAACCAAAAUUUCACAAUUGUCGACUAUUCCCUCCCCCCAACCAGAACGAAACAUUGUCCUCAAUGUUUUAAAGGAAAGAAGUAGAGUUUAGAAGACAUCACCUGGGUGGUGCAACACAGAAGAAAAUAUUUACAGGCGGAGAGUUAAAUCUAAUUUGUACUUCUUACUGCGGCUACUGUUAUCAUCAUUAUUUGGUCGCUCCAACACAAAGGUCCAGGGGUCUGGCUCCGGUUUAUAAGCUUGUAACAUAUCAAGUAGCUCAUUAGCAGUGUGAGCACAAAUAAAGAGUUUUUUCACAUUAGAAGGAAUGAAAUAGUUUUUUAUUGCAUGGUUAAGAAAUGCGAUAAAGCCAUCAUAAAAGUUAUUGACAUUUAACAAACCGAUGGGUUUCUGGUGAAUGUGUAGAUGGGCCCAAGAUGCUAGUGUCAUAAGUGCCUCUAGUGUUGCAAGAUCUCCUGGAAGGAAAAUAAAAGCAUCAGCAUGAUUAAGCAUUUCAGUUAUUCUUUCUUGCAUACCUGAGACGACUAACUCUUCUCCAGUUGAUGAGUCAGACGAACUGCCCAAUGGUUUUAGGACUCUUGGGAUGAUGCCUAACACUUGACUUCCUCUGAUAAAAGCUGCUUCUGAGACCAUUUUUGAUAACCCCCGGUUACCUCCUCCAUACACCAAAUGUAAUUUUCUCGCUGCUAUGCUUCGACCAAGAUCUAUGGCUGCCUCCACGAACUCUUUAUGUUUGCCAUAGGUAAAUCCAGAAAGCACACAAAUGUUCUUGAAUUGUCUAUUGGGAGUAGCUGCCAUUGUGAUACUUCUCAAAAAUAAUUUGUGAGUGCUUGACAAAAAGUAAAUCACAUUUAAGAAUCUUGGUGACAGUGGAUCACAGCUGUGAAUGAGGUAACAUGUCAGUGUCAAAUAACGCGUAAAGCACGUGGCUCGCGAGUCAAAAAGGAAAUAGUAAAAAGGAAACAGCAAACAGUAACCAAAUUAUUAAAGACAAUAAUGCAAACAAUAAAAAAACAGUGAAAUGAAAUAAAAUAACAGUAAAGUAAAAGGAUAUUUACACGUAGUUGCGACUGUGGCUCACAUCUUCCUCUGGUUUUACGUCCAGAAACGGCUUGAACGCCCUCUAUGGGUCGAGGAUGGGCUUCCCAUCCAGUUUUCUUAUAAACUGGCAAACAGGGUCGUUUAUAGUCAGAUUCCCGAGACUAUAUUGUGCAUGCUCUUUCUGGAAUAAUGGUCAUAACCGGAGAAUCGCUCCUUGCACAUAUCCACUGGGAUGCGUUUCAAGAGACAAAAGGAUAUCAUCCAAUGACUCCUUAUUCAAGCCAUCCCUAAUGAAUUGAAUCUUAUCUUCCCUGUUAUCAGACAUCAUUCCUAAAGAACAUGGGUUUUUAUUGCAACUCAUUCUGGCACACUUAUGACAAGCAACAGAAAUUCUUCGAGCUAGUCAUUUUCUUGCAUAAUUUCCUUUACCACAACCAGGCAUGUAUGCAAUAAAUUUUGGAGGUAACUCACCUGCCGAUCGUACUUUAGCCUCGAUUAACCAACGGAUGUCAGCAGGUAUGUUAUUCCUCAUGAGCAAUCGGAUGCGUUCAGACCGGGCUUUAUAGAUUGUAAGGAGGGCAUUCUGAGGAAGUGAAGGGAAUCGCUUGUGAAGUUUCGCUAGAAUCUCGUUUCUGUCCAUACCUUCGCCUCAGAAUAUCAGUUAUUAUGGGAAACUGAAGUAACCGACUUGAUUGUCACGGAGUACCGUUAUCCGCCACUUCACCAGGGUAACAAACUAAAGCACACAAACAGAAAAACAAAUUAAAACACACAAAGAAAAUUAAAAUCGUCCUCUUAUUGAAUUUACCUCAAGCUCCAACUAGAUGUCGUAAACACUUCUCUCAAUAUCUCGGAGUUGGCUUUCUAGAUUCUCAACAUAGGCUACUAACUCUGGUGGUUGUAGAGCCCAAAUGCGUUGUGUUUUACAAAACUGAAUCUGCUUUUUGAGAUGAGUUUUGACACGUUGAAGUGGUUUAAGAAUGUUCAGGAGGAACGGUCUAAGUAAGGUACUCAUGAUUAAAAAUGAUAAAAGAAAACUUAAUAGUUAAACAAACACACUUAUGCAAAAAUAAUUUCAAUUAGCAGAAGAAUAAUAAAAAGAAAGAAAGAAAAAUCAAAUCAACGAAAAGAAAAAACAAAUCAAUUCAAAUCUGGUGGGUCACUCAAAUUUAUUUCGGUGUCUUCUCCAUGUGGUUGGUAUUCUAGAUAUGGCUUUAAUCUUUGACCAUUAACUUUAAACGUGACACCGUUCUUUGGGUCCUUAAUUUCAAUUGCCCCAUGUGGAAAAACAGUAUGUACAAUAAAUGGGCCAGACCAACGAGAGCGUAACUUACCUGGGAAUAGGUGCAAGCGAGAAUUGAAUAAAAGCACUUUCUGACCUGGAGUGAUCGAUUUUCUCAUAAUUUGCUUAUCAUGGAAGACUUUCAUUCGUUGCUUGUAAAUCUUGGCAUUUUCGUAUGCAUCAUUGCGAAUUUCUUCAAGUUCUGCCAGCUGUAAUCUUCUUUCUGAGCUGGCUUGCUGCAUGUCAAAAUUGAAUUUCUUGAUGGCCCAAUAUGCACGAUGCUCUAGUUCCACAGGUAGGUGGCAAGCUUUUCCAUACACUAGCCUAUAGGGUGACAUCCCAAUCGGGGUCUUGAAAGUCGUUCUAUAUGCCCAUAAUGCAUCAUCAAGUCUUAAUGACCAAUCUUUUCUGUCUGGCCUCACCGUUUUUUCUAAUAUGUGCUUGAUUUCUCGAUUGGAGAUCUCAACUUGGCCACUGGUUUGCGGAUGAUAUGGGGUCGCCACUUUGUGUGUGAUUGAAUACUUUGUCAAAAGUGCUUUAAAUGCUUUGUUACAAAAGUGGGCACCACCAUCACUGAUUAUCGCUCGAGGGAAUCCAAAGCGUGAAACAAUGUUGCUUUUCAAAAAUCCUAUCACCACUUUGUGAUCAUUGGUCCUACAUGGAAUUGCUUCUACCCAUUUCGAUACAUAGUCAACAGCAACCAAUAUGUAUUGAUGGCCAAAAGAAGGGGGAAAGGGUCCCAUGAAGUCGAUACCCCAUACGUCAAAAAUCUCAACCACUAAAAUUGGAUUUAAUGGCAUCAUGUUCCUUCGUGUAAUGCUCCCCAUUCUUUGACACCUAUCACAUGAAGAACAAAAAGUGUAAGCAUCUCGAAAUAUAGUUGGCCAAUAGAAACCACAUUGUAAAACUUUAGUCGCUGUUUUCUUAGAACUAAAAUGGCCUCCACAAGCUUGUUCAUGGCAGAAUGAAAGGAUAUUCUGAAUUUCACUUUCUGGGACACAUCGUCUAACAAUUUGGUCUGCACAAUACUUGAACAAAUACGGGUCAUCCCAAAAGAAAUUCUUUAUUUCUGCAAAGAAUUUAGCCUUGUCUUGCUUGGUCCAAUGCUCUGGAAAUUUACCUGUAACAAGAUAAUUAACUAUAUCAGCAUACCAAGGUAAUACUUCCACAUUCAUCAAUUGUUCAUCUGGGAAUGACUCAUUUAAUGGUAAUGGCUCUGUAAUUGUGUCAAAAUGGAGACGAGAGAGAUGAUCCGCCACAACAUUUUCUGUGCCUUUUUUAUCUUUGAAUUCCAAGUCAAAUUCCUGCAAAAGUAACACCCAACGAAUUAGUCUAGCUUUUGCAUCUUUCUUUGUGAGAAGAUAUUUAAGAGCAGCAUGAUCUGUAAAUAUAAUUAUUUUACAACCAAUGAGAUAAGAUCGAAAUUUUUCCAAUGCAAACACUACUGCUAGCAUUUCUUUUUCAGUAGUUGAAUAGUUCAACUGUGCAUCAUUCAAUGUCAUACUAGCAUAGUAAAUAACAUGAGGAAUUCGAUCAACUCUUUGUCCUAAAACUGCUCCUACUGCAUAAUCAGAUGCAUCACACAUGAGCUCAAAUGGUAAGUUCCAGUUUGGGGCCUGAAUGAUGGGUGAUGAUGUCAACAACUGCUUUAAUUUUUCAAAAGCCAUAAGACAUGAAUCAUUAAAGAUAAAAGGUACAUCCUUAGCAAGUAAAUUGCAUAAGAGUCUAGAAACUUUGCUAAAAUCUUUAAUGAAACGUCUAUAGAAACCAGCAUGUCCAAGGAAGGAUCUUACUUCUCUGACUGUUUUAGGUGGAGGAAGAUUAGAAAUGAGAUCCACCUUGGCUUUGUCAACCUCAAUACCUUUGCUCGAAAUGAUGUGACCGAGAACAAUACCUUGUUUUACCAUAAAAUGACACUUCUCCCAAUUCAAGACUAAGUUCUUCUCGAUACAUCUCUGCAGAACUAGCGUUAGAUGAUGUAAACAUUGAUCAAACGAAUCACCAAAGACAGAAAAAUCAUCCAUAAAGACUUCAAGGAAUCGUUCAACCAUAUCAGAAAAAAUGCUCAACAUACAUCGUUGAAAUGUAGCAGGUGCAUUACAUAAUCCAAAUGGCAUUCUCCUAUAUGCAAAUGUGCCAAAAGGGCAAGUGAAAGUAGUUUUCUCUUGAUCUUUUGGUGCUAUGGGGAUCUGAUUAUAUCCUGAGUAGCCAUCUAGAAAGCAAUAAAAUUCAUGGCCUGCUAAUCUAUCAAGCAUUUGAUCAAUAAAUGGUAAAGGAAAAUGGUCUUUACGUGUGACAGAAUUCAACUUUCUAUAAUCAAUGCAUACACGUCAUCCUGUAGUUACUCUAGUUGGUAUCAAUUCAUUAUCAGCAUUGGUAACUACUGUGACUCCUGACUUUUUGGGGACAACUUGUACAGGACUGACCCAUGAACUAUCAGAAAUUGGGUAAAUGAUACCUGCGUCUAAUAGCUUAAGGACUUCUGUUCUAACAACUUCUUUCAUAUUAGGAUUUAACCGACGUUGCAUUUCCCUAGUAGAUUUAGCAUUUUCAUCAAGGUGAAUGUAAUGCAUGCAUUCUGCAGGGUUUAUACCUUUUAUGUCUGCUAUGGUCCAUCCUAAUGCUCCUUUGUGCUCUUUUAAAACAUCCAACAACUUACCUUUUUGUUCGUCGUUUAGGGAUGAUGAGAUGAUUACCGGUAGAGUGCUUUCUUCUCCCAAAAAUGCAUAUUCCAAUGUGUUGGGUAAUGGUUUGAGCUCGAGUUUCGGUGGUGAUUCUGAUGAUGGGAUGAGUUUCUUCUCUGAUGGUGCUAGUUGUUCAACUCUUGACUUCCAUUUAUUAGUGUCCAUGGAUGGUGUUGAGUCAAGCAGGGCGUUGACCUCAUCAACUGAUCUGUCAAUAUCAAAAUCAAAACCAAAGUGAGUUAAACAUGUUUUUAAAGGAUCAUCACUAAGGUUUGAAAGAAAAGUAUUAUCAACUAUUGUUUCUAUUAAAUCCACAUCAACAAUUCCAUCAUCUGCACUGUGAGGUUGUUUGGCAAUGUUGAAAAUGUUUAGCUCCAUAGUCAUGUUGCCAAAGGACAACUGCAUAUUUCCAGUCCUGCAUUGAAUAUGAGCAUCUGCAGUUGCCAAGAAAGGUCGGCCUAGAAUAAUGGGGAUGUGCUUCCUUGAGUCCUGUAUUGGUUGAGUGUCAAUUACAAUGAAAUCAACAGGAAAAUAAAACUUGUCUACCUGGAUAAGCACGUCCUCCACAAUACCACGAGGUAUUUUCGUGGACCGAUCUGCAAGCUGUAACACCACUGGAGUUGGGUGUAAUUCUCCCAGUCCAAGUUUCACAAACACAGAGUAAGGCAACAAAUUUACACUAGCUCCUAAAUCCAACAAAGCAUUCUCAAUUGUGUGGUUCCCUAUACUACAUGAGAUAGUGGGGGAGCCUGGGUCUUUGCAUUUUAGAGGAAUUUUAUGUUGGAGUAUAGAACUAACGUUUUCUGUUAAAAAUGCCUUCUUUUGAACAUGCAUGUUUCUCUUUUUAGUACACAAAUCUUUAAGAAACUUGGCAUAAGAUGGAACUUGUUUAAUAGCAUCAAGCAAAGGGAUAUUAACACUUACCUGUUUGAAGAUUUCGAGAAUCUCACCUGUGGAUUUUCCCUUCUUUCCUUUCGCUAACCUCUGAGGAAAUGGAGCUUUCGGAACAUAUUCUCGUGGGUUGGUUUCUUCUUUUUCCUCCGGUGGUGAGUCCUCAACAUUCACAGGUACAAUUUGAUUUUCUUUUGUCACCGGCAUCUCCACUUUGUUGUCGACUUCCUUUCCUUUUCGCAAGGUCAUGACUGCUUUGACCUCUCCAUGCUGUUGUGGUGAACUGGUACUUGCUUCAUGUACUCCUUUAGGAUUAGGCACUGGUUGACUUGGAAAUUUACCUUUCUCAACAGUAAUUGCCAAGGUCUGAACUGAAGAAGCGAGCUGUCCCACCAUCUUCUCGAGGCUUGAAACUGAUUGGGCUUGUGAAUUGAAGCCUGCUCUCAACUCAUUUCGUAGUCCAUCAAUGGUGCGAUUCUGUUGCUCAAUCGUGGAAUGAGUAAGAUUCUUGAGAUUCUGGAAUGAAUCCUCCCAUGGUCUGGGUUGAGAAUAGUUCUGGUUUUGAUUGUAUGGUCUAAAUGGUGGCUGAGAGGCUUGAGGAUUUUGUGGAAUUGGUGGAGCUGGAGCUGCUGGUCCAUUCUGUUGGAAUCCUUGAGACCAUGAAAAAUUGGGGUGGUCUCUCCAUCCAGGGUUAUAUGUGUUGGAGUAUGGGUUGUAAUUCGAUGGUUUUCUGAUUACACCUAUGGCAUUGGCUUGAUCGGAGUAUGAGUCAUGGUCAUGUGGUUCUGUUGAUUUAGCAGUCGACAACGAUGCUAUUUGUCGAGCAAGACCUUCAACCAUCUCCUUGACUUCUUUGAUUCCCGAAGUUGACUCGCCAAUUUGAACCUCAUUUACUCCCUUAAUUCUUCUAGUAUUCCUGAUUGAUCGACUCCGUUGUUGGGAAUUAUCCGCUUGUCGCUGGAAGAAUUCCCAAAUCUCUGUUGCGCUUUUUGACAUUAGCUCUCCUCCACUUGUUGCCAUUAGCCAUUCUUGCACAUUUGGCAAUAAUCCCUCCAAAAAGUAUUGGCAUUGGUGCCAUUUCUCAUACCCAUGAUGUGGACACUUCAAGAGUAGCCCAUUGAAUCGCUCCCAAGUUUCGAAAAACUGCUCGUCCUCUCUUUGUGUAAACUCUGAAAUUUCCCUAUGAAUAGAAUUGGUUUUAUGCACUGGGAAAUAUUUAUUUAGAAACUUUGUAACCGUUUGUUCCCAUGAUGCAAUGCUAUUAGCAGGCAAAGUAUUUAACCAUGAACGAGCUCUAUCCUUUAAAGAAAAUGGGAAUAAUCUAAGUUUAACAUCAUCGUCUGAAAAAUUUUCAUAUUUAAAAGUUUGACAAAUGGCAUGAAAAUCAUUCAGAUGAUUAUAUGGGUCCUCAUUUUCUAAGCCAUAGAAUGUGGGGAGACAAUUUAGCACACUAGGUUUUAGUUCAAAACUCCUAGCAGCUACAUUUGGGUAUCUUAUGCAUGAUGUGCUCAAAUUAGCUAAGGGACUAAAAUAGUCUUUAAAUGGCCUCUCCUGUGGUGCUUUUAAAUCCAUUUCAAAUUUAACGUGCUUGUGUGUGCGAAGUGUUUUUUCUAAUUCAAGGUCUAUAGGUUCAAGAUUAGGUAAUAAAGACCUACGACCAUGCAUACAAAAUAAAUAAAAUAAAAAUAAAGAUGGAAAAACAAAUAAAAAUAAAGAAGAGACAGAAAUUACAAUACUAACCUUAUUGCGCUAUUACAACCUUACUAUAAAAAUACACAAAAAUAAAUACGUGAAAUAAAUUAACUAAAAAUUAAAUUAAUAAAAUAAACAAAAAUUACAAAGAAAAAAAUAAAUUGAAAAUUAAAUUACAGAAUUUUAAAGAAGAGAAAAAGAAAAGAAAUACUAACCUUUAAAUGUAGAUUUACUUUUUUUUUUCUUUUUUUUCUUUUUAAUAAAAAAAAAUACAAGAAAACAAAUAAAAGAAAUUAUUCACAAAAAUUAAUUCUAUGAAUUAAAAUUACUUACCUCCCCGGCAACGGCGCCAAAAACUUGUUGUGCAAAUUUUAAUGUACUCGCAAGCGCACGAAUCUAUCGUAGUAUAGACUAAUGGUGACGAGUGUCGAUCCCACGAGGAGGUGGAUUUUAAUUAUAUGUAGAAUUAAUUUUGUAAAUGGGUGGUUGGAAUUGUGGUGGAAGUGAUUUAAAUUAUCCUAAAAUUGGAAUUGAAAUGGCGAUAAUAAAUUCUAAAAUUGGAAUUGCAAUGACGAGAGUAAAUUGAAGAGAAAUCUAUUGAAAUAACGUACUUGGGUAUCUGGAUCCGUAUCAACAUGCAUCAUGGGCUAAAUAAUCCGUAUUAAUGCCAAUUAAAUCAUGAGGGGGGAAUCCACACCUCAUGAACCACGCUCUAAUCAAUAUGGUGCUAAGGGCUUAUCGUGCCAAAUAAUAAUAACCUUAUACUAGAGAGCCGGUGUAACCAAGGCGGUAUCUAGACAAGAUCAGUAUUAUUUGUCGACGAUAAGUCAAAUCAUCCACAAAAACUAGAGGGGAAAAGAAAAUAAAUUUACCAAAUAAAGCCCAUGACACAUGUUGAGACUUCACCUUCAACCCAAGCUUGAAAGAAAACUAGCCACUCAUAAUUGAACUAGGGGCAAAAUAGGAAUUUAUUAAAAUACAAAGAAAAUACAAGAUGGAGAGAGAAUUACAGAAAAUGGAUCCCAAAAAUGGAUUCAGAGAUAUCCAAUUAGGGGGGAGAGGCCCCCUUUUUAUAGAUACAUGGAGUAAAUCAUGGCCAUCGGAUUAAAAACAGUUUAGACGCUCAGGAUUGUGCCGCGUCAUCAGUCAACAGUCCACGGUUUGACCACGCGGAUGAACAGUAACACGGUUUGACCCGACUUUGAACAGUAACGCGGUUUGACCCGGAUGAACAGUAACGCGGUUUGAUUGAAAAUAAUCCUGUGUGAUGCAUGUACCGUACGCGAUAUUUUUCAUCCACUGAUAUGCUGCCACGUCACCAUCAACAGUACAUAAGAAUUUUAGCCCAACAGGAUCGUGACACCUCAUCAGUCAAUGCCACAUCAUCGGUCAAUGCCACGUCAUCGAUCCGUCUAUGUGAACAGUGUUGUGAACAGUAACGUAGUUAGUACCGUACACGUGAAUAGUACCGUACAUAUGAAUAGUGCCAUUUUUCCUUUUAUGCUCCUCUUAAGGUUUUCGACUGUCCUGAGUUCAAAAGUAAUGUCCGUUUUGCCGUCUGAUCUCUCUUUUAUUGUGAAAUGACUAUAAUGCCCCUAAAAUACAUAAAUUACUUAAUUAAAAUAAAACACACGUAAUUAAAUCACAAGAAUGUUAAAUACAUAAAAGUAACGGUUGUUAGUAAGACUUGAAAUGUAAAAUGACGGUUUUCUCCUUUAUAAAUAUGCAUUUUCUAACACUCAACAGUAGCCAGGAUUUUGAUCGAGUCGGGGCAUAUUUGAAAUCAAAUAUGACUCAAAUGCGCGAUUGCUCAUAUGAUAAGUUCCUAUUUGAGAAACUGUAUUGUGGCCCCCAUAAACUCCAAAUGGGAACUUGCGACAUGUAUAAUUGUACUCCUUAUAGAGUGCGUCUGCAAGCAUCUAAUUGAAACCACAUUUAAAGUAUAAUACAUUUUUAAAAAUUUAGAUAGCAAUAUAUAACAUUACAACUAUAAUAUUCAUUGAUAAUAAAUUUAUUUAUUACAAUGGUUCUCCGUGAAAACUUCUCAAUGAGAUUUGAUGAGUUGAAAAUAAUGCAUUAUCAAUAUAAGCAAAAAUAUAUUUUUCAAUAUACAAGACUAGGCUAUUACUUAAUUUGCUCUUAAAAUCUUUUAAUAAUAACAAAAAUAUUCAUAUAUUGCAACACAAAGAAUAAAUAUGAAAUGCAUGAUAAAAUUAUAAAUUUUAAAAUUAGACAAAAGAUUAAUUAGAAAAUUAAAAAUUAAAAUUAGGUAGACUUACAACUUAUGGUUCAGUAUUGAAAGACUAAAUAAUUGAUUUUACUUGAAUAAAAAAUAAAAAGAUUAAAUACCAGUCCAUUAACCAUUAUACUAAUAUUUUGUUAUGAUUGUUUUUUAUUUUAAUAAUUGUUCUCGUGUAUUUAAUCAAGUUUCAUGAAAUGUUAAUAACUAAUUAAAUUAUUUAUAAUUAAAAAUUUAAACUGGGGAUAGUAUGAAAUAUUUUAAAAUUAUUGGAGUCGAUUUCAAAUUUUAAAAUUCAGUUGGGGCAUUUUUCAUAAAUAACAAAUAAAAUACAAAUUUUUAGUAUAAUUAUAAAAAAAAAUUUAAAAGCUAGCUGGGGCCUGUGCCCCACCUCGUCCCAUGCUGGCUCCGUCCCUGAUUAUACUUACAGAAUUGUAAACACAUUAAUUAAUUAUUAUAAAGUUUCACUUCCACCUUUAUUACUGCAAUUCUCUACAUUUGUCUUUCCCCACAAAUAUAUAUCCCAGCACUUAGUAGAUAUAUUAUUUUAUUAUAAAUAUCAAUAGAUUUUUAAUUGUAUAAUACAUACUUAUGAAAUUGUAUAGAGUAAUUUCGUUCAAUUAUAUUAAUCCGUUAUGAAUUUCAUCACAAAUUUAUAGGUGGCCAAUACCGUGCAAGUGAAAUUUCAGAUAAAAUCAUCUCCUAGCAAUUUUUUUUUUAUAUUUUUCAAUUUUGCUUUAACGUAUGGAUCCAUUUCUUGUCUAUAUGGCAGACAACUUUUAUUAUCAGGUAGGCAAAAUCAAAAGCCUUUAUGUCGUUAAUUUUAUUAUGCCAUGACAGACUCCAAGAUCUAAUUUAGAGAGCGACUCAAAUAAUGGUAAUUAGUAAUUCAUUAUAUCUGCGGCUAGCUAGAUACUUUGUUUGUGAAAAAAAAAAAAAAGAAUAAAAUCAGUUUCAUAAUGAUUUUAUUUACAAUAAAUACCAUACUAUGGUCCAUGACUUACCUCAUAUUACUAAGAAAAUAUGUGAAAGAUAAUUAAGGAUUAAAGCUUUCCACAAAGAUUUAUAAAAUUGCUUUUGAUAAAACUGUUCUGAUGAAAUGAAAUUAUAUGCAAUUACUAAGAAUUUAGUUAGCCUCUCAAUUAUCAGAACCCAGUAGUGCAUUUGAAAGGUGAGCAUCAGCAAAUGACUUGUCAAUUAAAAUGCUGAAAUUCACCCUAUAUGCAUUUGUGCUACUAGAUACGUCAUACGUUACCAUAAAUAGUGAUCAGCAUUUGUAAUAUCAAAUUUUUUGUUUUCAUGGUCUUACAAACAACAGGAAUAAAGAGCCAUGACACAAAAACUGGAAAAGAUAUAAUUAUUCUGCUUAUUGGCAGCUUGCGGUUCAUAAUUAAGACGUUCAGCAAGUUCAUGGGAGCCAUGUUUAUGAGCAUCCUCACGUGGAAGUUCUGUGACUGGAACAUGAUGCUUGCAAAUCUUUCCAAAUAUUCAGACAAACUAGAAAAGCCUAAUGUGCGAACCUCUUCGAAAGCUAUAUGUGGAAUUUGAUUCUUCCAUAUCUUUACAUAUUUCAGCUGGCAUGGAGCACCAUGCUUGCAAAUCCUUCUAUUUGAACAAUUACAUAGUUUGCUUUUGCUUCUUAGCUCAAACAACGCCGGAUCUUUGAUACCUGAGCAUCCUGGAUGGGCUGUGUUUGCAUGAAGCAACUGUUGGGGAAAAAUUAGGUUUUUAAAUUUUUUAUAAAACCUUAUGAAGAUCGCUCUCAUAUAAUACAUAAGAAUUUGUAUUCUAGAAAUCGUACCUUGAAAAUCUGAGUUGGCUUUUUCCGGUGAAGUGAUUUAGGCUCCUAGAUCACGAUCCGCCACCACCACUCCUGUUAGAUCACGAUCCGUCACCACCACGCUUGUUAGAUCACGAACUGUCACCAAUGAUCUUCCAGGUUAUGACUCAGGUUCGAUCUGCACUUGACGUGUGGGCGCCGUUAUCACUACCAAAGCAACUAGCACGAGAAAAUUUUUCUCUCAACAAUGGAGAGAAAAAUCUUUUUCUCUGAUUUGUAUAAAGUGGCUUCUUCUUUUCCUUUUUGGGAAAAUAAGCCUUAUAUAUCUCCCUUUAGUGAAAACCCUAGGCUCCAAGGAUUCCCCAAAAUAAAACUCACGUUACUUUUCAUUUAAUAGGAGACCCACCAUGUAAAAUAACAUAAGGCCCCUUACACAUAAGCUUAUUAAAUGGAGCCUCCCACUAAAUGAUAUAUUUAGGCUUUUGACCCAAAUAGCUAGUUAUCUUGCUUAUUAGUCCAGCAGUGGUGCAAUCAAUUAAAUGAGCUAACCCGGGGAUCAUUUGGGAACAUACAAUAGUGGCUACAAUAAUUAGGCCUGUAAUUAAACUAGCCUAAUUAUUUAAUUCCAAAUCUACUCCACUAAAAGAUUGGAACUGACUUCCAUAAUUGUAUGCUCGAAUAAUAAUUCGUCCCAAGCCACAUUGAUUUCUUUACUGCACAAUCCUUUGUACCACAUCGUUAAUUAAAUUGAUAUCUCAACUGUCCAAUCAAUUUAAUAACAUCUUAUUCCUUGAUCCUUACUGGUUUUCUCUAAUGAUCAUUUUCAACAUACUAAAUAUGUUGACACACUCUGGCCAGAGAAUUCUAUGAUCAAGUACCGAAAACCUAUCAAGAGAUGUGUUGUACAAAUUCUAUAUUGUUAAUCCAUAACUCCAAUACUCAUAAUUGCUCCCACCAAGAUACCGGGUAAUCUUGACCAUAAGGAUGUGUCGUGCCCAUUGGUAACUCAAAUGAAAUAACAAUUACAAUCAUGAAAUCAUAAUUAACUCAAGAUUAAGAUUACAGUAAAAUCAACGCCUAUGAGAUUUAAUAAGUCUGACAGUUAUUACAAAGUUAAUUAAAUCUCAUAUGUGAUCCUAUUCAAUGUAGUCGCACUACAUCAAUAAAUUCAUACAUGAUUAAGACAAAUCAUUCAAUGAAUUUAUUACAGUCUAUACCUAAAUAAAGUGUCCAACUUUAUUUAUCAACUGCGAACUAAAUUUAUUUAAUCAUAAGAUAACUUGUAUUUAUGUCUUAUGUGAAUCCACAUGGUGAUCACAUAAAUACAUAUAAUAUGAUUAAAUGGACUUUAAUACAAAUAUUAAUGCAAUUAAGAUAUUUGAAUAAAAUACCUCAUUUAUUUUAUUAAUCAGAAAAAUUGUUUAUUACAAUUAAAUAAACACAUAUGCUUUUAAAGAGCAUAUUUUCCCAACAAUCUCCCACUAGCUCUCAAAGCAUAUUUGGCAUCUCACGCAUGCCCAUGGAUUCUAAGUGCAAGUUAAAAGGUUUCCCAGGUAUGGCCUUAGUAAAAGGAUCUGCCAAGUUUUGCUGUGACGCAAUCUGAGUAACCUCCUCAUCACCUCUCUGCACUAUAUCCCUUAUAAGAUGAUACUUUCUCUCAAUAUGUUUUUGUUUCUUGUGGUUCCUUGGUUCCUUAGAUUGAGCUACCGCACCACUAUUAUCGCAAAAUAGUUUAAGGGGUGCAGUUACAGCAGGUACCACCUCAAGAUCUUGUAGGAACUUGCGGAGCCAUACAGCUUCUUUUGCAGCUUCGGAUGCAGCCACAUAUUCAGCUUCAGUUGUGGAGUCUGCGAUACAAGAUUGUUUCACACUCCUCCAACUAAUAGCUCCACUUCCCAAUGUAAACACAUAGCCGGAAGUUGAUUUUCUGGAAUCCUUAUCUGACAUAAAGUCAGAAUCAGUAUAACCCACUGGAAUGAGUUCAUCACCAGAAUACACAAGCAUAUAAUUUUUAGUUCUUUUCAGAUACUUCAUUAUAUGCUUGACCGCAGUCCAGUGUUCAGGUCCAGGAUUAGAUUGAUAUCUACUAACCAUCCCUACCGCAAAACAGAUGUCUGGCCUAGUGCAAAGCAUGGCAUACAUGAGACUUCCCACAGCUUCUGCAUAGGGAACUCGUCUCAUUCUCUCUAUCUCUUCAGAUGUUUUAGGUGAUUGAUCCUUAGAGAAUGUAAUUCCAUGUCUGAAUGGUAAUAAACCAGUCUUGGAAUUUUCCAUGCUAAAUCUAGCCAAUAUCUUAUCGAUAUAGACCGCUUGAGACAAGGCUAAAGUUUUAUUCUUCCGGUCUCGUAGUAACUUGAUACCAAGAAUAUAACUUGCCUCUCCUAGGUCUUUCAUAUCAAAUUGUUUUGCUAACCAACUCUUUAUUGUAGUCAAUACUCCUAUAUCGUUUCCAAUUAGGAGAAUAUCGUCUACAUAAAGAAUUAGGAAGGCUACAGAUUUUUCUUGAAUUUUCUUGUACACACAUGGUUCAUCAAUGUUCUGAAUGAAUCCAAACGAUUUAAUCGCUUGAUCAAAUCUGAUGUUCCAUGACCGGGAUGCUUGCUUCAAUCCAUAAAUGGAUUUCUGCAACUUACAUACCAUGUGUUCUUGGCCUUUUUGUAUAAAUCCAUCUGGUUGCUGCAUGUAGAUGUUUUCUUCAAGAUGCCCGUUAAGAAAGGCAGUCUUGACAUCCAUUUGCCAAAUUUCAUAAUCUAGCAUUGCAGCAAUUGAGAGCAGAAUCCUGAUGGAUUUAAGCAUAGCAACCGGAGAAAAAGUUUCCUCAUAAUCGAUUCCCUCUUUCUGAGUAAACCCUUUGGCUACUAAUCUUGCUUUAAAUGUUUCCACCCUUCCGUCUACUCCUCUUUUUCUCUUGUAGAUCCACUUGCAUCCUAUAGGUUUUACCCCAUUUGGUGCCUCUACAAGUUCCCAGACUUUAUUGGAAUACAUAGAUUCCAUUUCUUGAUUCAUGGCCUUUUUCCAAAAUUCAACAUCUCUAUCUAUUAGAGCUUCGUUGUAACUAGUGGGAUCUUGUACAUGUUCAUCUGAGAUAGCCGUAUAGGUUUCUCCCAAAAGCAUGUAUCUCGCAGGUAACCUAGUUACCCUCCCACUACGACGAGGUUCUAAAAGUGAUGGUUGUUCAGGGUUAAUCCUGUGUUGAUCAUCUGGUUGUUGCUGUUCUUUCUGUUCUGUAACAGGCAUUGAAAGCUGAGCAUCAACCUGAUCACCUGACAGUUCUUCAAGUAUUACCUUACUCUUAGGUUUGAAGUUAUUCAUAUAGUCUUCCUCAAGGGAAGUUAAAUGUGUGCUCACGAUCACUUUCCUAUCUUGAGGACUAUAAAAUAAACCUCCCCUUGUUCCUUUGGGAUACCCCACAAACAUACAAACCUCAGAACGUGAAUCCAUUUUGUCUGCCUUUGGUUUCAGCACAUGUGCUGAUGAUCCCCAAAUACGGACAUGUCGUAAACUUGGUUUGCGACCUGACCAUAAUUCUAUUGGGGUUUUAGGCACUGACUUAGAUGGAACUAAGUUCAAAAGGUAAACUGCAGUUUCCAGUGCUAGUCCCCAAAAAGAGAUUGGUAAUGACGAAUAACUAAGCAUAGAUCUCACCAUAUCCAAAAGAGUUCUAUUUCUUCUUUCAGCUACCCCAUUUUGUUGUGGUGUUCCCGGGGCAGUCAAUUGAGAUAUAAUCCCAUUUUCAACCAGAUACUCUUUGAAAUCUCCUGAGAGAAAUUCACCACCUCGAUCAGAUCGAAGUUUCUUUAUGUUCUUAUCUAAUUGCUUUUCUGUCUCAGCCCUAUACUCUUUGAAUUUCUCAAGAGCUUCAGACUUAUGACGCAUUAGAUAAACAUAACCGUAUCUUGAGUAAUCAUUAGUAAAAGUGAUGAAAUACUCAUAACCUCCUCGAGCUUGUACAUUGAUUGGUCCACAUACAUCUGUAUGUACCAAUUCAAGUGGUACUGUUGCACGUACUCCUUUGGCCGAGAAUGGCCUUUUGGUCAUUUUCCCUUCUAAACAGGAUUCACAGAGUGGCAAUGAUUCAUUUUCUAAUGGACCCAAGAGCCCAUCUUUGAUCAUUCUCUGUAUCCUAUUUUGGUUUAUAUGACCCAAGCGUAAAUGCCAGAGGUAACAUUGGUUGGAAGAAAUAUUUCUUUUCUUAGAUAAAUGUGCAUGCUCAUCAUUAUUUAUCACUGUGUCAUGCAUAUAAUGGAUCAUUGGACUUAAAUGAUAUAAAUUAUCUUCCAUUUUACCAGAACAAAUAAGUCUCUUAUUAUGAAAAAUAGAAACAGAGGAUCCAAAAUUUACAGUGUACCCUUGCUUUGACAAACAAGCUACUGAAAUUAAAUUCCUCUUAAUGUCUGGAACAUAAAGACAAUUAUUCAAAACUAAAGUCUCAUUAUUAAAAGAUAAUAAAACAGAUCCAGUCUUUACUGCUGACACGAACUGUCAUGUCCCUAACUGCAGCUUGACGCUUCCUUCACUUAUUUUCUUGGUUUCCUGAAACCAAUAAAGUGAAUUACAAAUAUGAUUAGUUGCUCCUGAAUCCAACACCCAAGUGUCAAUAGGAUUCUGAACUAAACAGGCCUCAAUUACAAAAAGAUUUCCCAUACCUGAUUUCACAAUCUUAGGGCAAUCCUUUUUCCAGUGACCUUUCUGUCCACACUUAAAGCAUUUGCCUUUCGGCUUGCCAUCUUGCUUGGUAGACGGUCUCUUUUUCCCAGCUUUCUUCUUACCUUUGCCUUUCGGUUUAGGCCCAGAAGAUGAACUUUUUUCAGUAAUAUUUAUGAUUCCCAGAGAUUUCUCAGCACGAUAGAUCUCUUCAGCAGAAUGGAGUUCGUUCAUCAAUUCAGUUAAGGUCAUGUUUCUUUUGUUCAUGUUAUAAUUGACCUUAAACUCCUUGAAUGUUUCUGGCAGAGAUUCUAGCACCAUGUCAAUCUUUGAGUUAUCAUCGAUUUGUGCUCCCUGAAUCUCAGCCUCAUUCAAAUAGUCCAUCAUUUUGAGGACAUGAUCACGAACUCUUGUGCCCUUCCCCAUUUUACUGUUCAUAAUUCCUUUCAGCGCUGCUUGUCUCGCAGAGCGAGUACUCUGCCCGAACAUCUGUUGGAGACUAUCCAUUAUUUCAGUGGCAGUCUCCAAGUUCUGAUGUUUGGUCUGCAGAAUAUUAGAAAUCGAGGCUAAAAUGUAACACUUUGCCAUUUCAUUGGCCUUUUGCCAUUUCUCAUAAAGCCUCCUCUGAUUUCUAUGAGCAUCAUCCGCUGGAACUGGGGGGCAUGGCUGGGUUAAGACAUAUUUAUAAUUUUCAGCAGUCAGGACAAUGAAUAGAUUUCUUUUCCAAUCUAUAUAGUUCUCUCCAGUGAGUUUGUUUUGACUCAGAAUAAUAGUAAGUGGGCUCAGGGAAGACAUUUUCUGAAAAAUAAAACAUCCAUGCAUAAAUAAUUUGAAAUAAUAUUCACAAUAAAUGACAAAAAUGCAUAAAACCAUAAAUGCAUUUUAAUUUAUUGUAACGAUAAUCUAGUUCCGUUUUGACAAGCUAUCCGGUGGGGAAGUCAUGUCUAUACUUACUAGACCCAAUUACCCAUUGGAUUAUUUACUUUCAUGUAGAGACAUGAUAAAUAAUUAUCGUUAUCCUUUUGGGCCUAAAUUUGUUAACAGAGCUUCGUUGGGAAGAUUAAUAACAAAUUUUAGUUGAGUGUAUAACCAUUGUUUCAAUCUAGAUAUUUUUCAUUUCAAUAGUCACCGUUGGGGUGAACAAUCGAUUGAAAAAUAUUUCAAUUUUAUCUUUGAAGAAGUUCAUCAAAUAAAAUAUCUAAUAAAUAUACCCUCCGAAGGGAGCAUCACCGUAUCAUGAAGUCGAGGUAUAUAUAUAAUUUUAUUAUUGAACUAACAAUGGAGCCCGUGGGAAAAUUAUCUUAAAUUUUCCCUCUCCCACUCAAUAUUUUAAAAUUGGUUUUUCCUUUUUAAAACAUACAUAUUGUUAAUUGCAUGCUUCCUAUAAUAUUAUCUAGAUGAUCUCAAAUAUUAUUAAGCAUAUGCAAAUUUCAAACAAUAUAAUGAAAUUCAUUAUUAAUGAAUGACAUGUAUCAUUAUGCAUAGAGUGGCACUACCUAUUCUAUAUGACAUGUCAUCAUGGCAUGUUAUCAUCCAAAACAUAAUAUAUAGAAAAACAAUUAAAUAAUCUUAAUUCAUGGCUUUCCUAAUAAUGAAAAAUACAUUAACCCUAAGCCUAAUCUUCAUUGGGCUUCUUGUCAAUGUCCAUCUUCCAUAAUCAUGUCUUUGUUAAUGGACUAGGAAAAAUUAGGCUUUUAAAUUUAUAAUUGGUCCAAUUUUAAUUUUGAAAGAAAAUAAAUAAAUAAUAAAAAAAAAAUUUUAUUAAAAUAAAACUUUUGGACCAAAAAUAAAUUUAAUGUGUUCAAUUUUAUCUAUGUAUUUUAAUCCAUUAAGCCCAAAUUUUAAUUGGGCCUAAAACUAGGAUUCUUUAAGUCCAAAACUGUUUUUGGAUUUAAACGCAAAAAAUUGAAACAUUUCUGCCCGAAAGAAAACUUAUGAAACCAUAGGGACCUUCAUGAUAAAAACCAUGAAACCCUAAAAUCAUAUUUUUCUUUCUUUCAUCUUCCCCAGCCGCCAUCUCCACAAAGGGCAGCGACUGUUCACGCAUCUCCGACGCCGAUUUGCUGCCGCCGUCACGCCAGAAACGCACCCAAACGACGCCCUCCACCAGCAGCCUGUGCACGCGCGUCACAAGUCCUCGCCCGCGCUGAUGGUAGCGGUGCUUGCAGCGUUGCAGCGCGCGCUGCAGCUGCAGCGUGUGCAGCGCCCGCUGCUAGCAGCGUGGCUGCUGGGCGCUGCGCGUGCAGCGCGCGCUGCUGGCAGCAUGUGCAGCGCGCGCUGCUGGCAGCAUGUGCUGCUGGCCGCGCGCUGCUCCCGCAGCAGCGUGUGCUGCUGGCCGCUCGCUGCUGCGUGCGCUGGUUCGUUGCUGCAGUUUCCAGCAAGUUUCCGCAAUUUUCCAGUGAUGAUUCUUCAUUGAUUUACAAAUUCUCAACGCAAAUUAUGGCUUACAAAAUUUCAAUUACAUUAAAAUAAAUCAAGAGGAAAACAUGGUGAUAAUAGACCACCCCUCUUGUUACAGAUCCAAACGAAAAAUACAGUAGAACAUCUAACCAUGAAUUAAGACAAACUAUAAACAUGCUUUAUUCAUAUAUUAAACAAAUAAUAUAUAUCUGAAUAAAAUGUGCCACUCUAAUACAUAAAUUUCAAGAAUGAUUUCAUACGAAAUUCUUAUAUAUUAAUAUGAGAGGGCUCUGAUACCAAUUGUUGGGGAAAAAUUAGGUUUUUAAAUUUUUUAUAAAACCUUAUGAAGAUCGCUCUCAUAUAAUACAUAAGAAUUUGUAUUCUAGAAAUCGUACCUUGAAAAUCUGAGUUGGCUUUUUCCGGUGAAGUGAUUUAGGCUCCUAGAUCACGAUCCGCCACCACCACUCCUGUUAGAUCACGAUCCGUCACCACCACGCUUGUUAGAUCACGAACUGUCACCAAUGAUCUUCCAGGUUAUGACUCAGGUUCGAUCUGCACUUGACGUGUGGGCGCCGUUAUCACUACCAAAGCAACUAGCACGAGAAAAUUUUUCUCUCAACAAUGGAGAGAAAAAUCUUUUUCUCUGAUUUGUAUAAAGUGGCUUCUUCUUUUCCUUUUUGGGAAAAUAAGCCUUAUAUAUCUCCCUUUAGUGAAAACCCUAGGCUCCAAGGAUUCCCCAAAAUAAAACUCACGUUACUUUUCAUUUAAUAGGAGACCCACCAUGUAAAAUAACAUAAGGCCCCUUACACAUAAGCUUAUUAAAUGGAGCCUCCCACUAAAUGAUAUAUUUAGGCUUUUGACCCAAAUAGCUAGUUAUCUUGCUUAUUAGUCCAGCAGUGGUGCAAUCAAUUAAAUGAGCUAACCCGGGGAUCAUUUGGGAACAUACAAUAGUGGCUACAAUAAUUAGGCCUGUAAUUAAACUAGCCUAAUUAUUUAAUUCCAAAUCUACUCCACUAAAAGAUUGGAACUGACUUCCAUAAUUGUAUGCUCGAAUAAUAAUUCGUCCCAAGCCACAUUGAUUUCUUUACUGCACAAUCCUUUGUACCACAUCGUUAAUUAAAUUGAUAUCUCAACUGUCCAAUCAAUUUAAUAACAUCUUAUUCCUUGAUCCUUACUGGUUUUCUCUAAUGAUCAUUUUCAACAUACUAAAUAUGUUGACACACUCUGGCCAGAGAAUUCUAUGAUCAAGUACCGAAAACCUAUCAAGAGAUGUGUUGUACAAAUUCUAUAUUGUUAAUCCAUAACUCCAAUACUCAUAAUUGCUCCCACCAAGAUACCGGGUAAUCUUGACCACAAGGAUGUGUCGUGCCCAUUGGUAACUCAAAUAAAAUAACAAUUACAAUCAUGAAAUCAUAAUUAACUCAAGAUUAAGAUUACAGUAAAAUCAACGCCUAUGAGAUUUAAUAAGUCUGACAGUUAUUACAAAGUUAAUUAAAUCUCAUAUGUGAUCCUGUUCAAUGUAGUCGCACUACAUCAAUAAAUUCAUACAUGAUUAAGACAAAUCAUUCAAUGAAUUUAUUACAGUCUAUACCUAAAUAAAGUGUCCAACUUUAUUUAUCAACUGCGAACUAAAUUUAUUUAAUCAUAAGAUAACUUGUAUUUAUGUCUUCUGUGAAUCCACAUGGUGAUCACAUAAAUACAUAUAAUAUGAUUAAAUGGACUUUAAUACAAAUAUUAAUGCAAUUAAGAUAUUUGAAUAAAAUACCUCAUUUAUUUUAUUAAUCAGAAAAAUUGUUUAUUACAAUUAAAUAAACACAUAUGCUUUUAAAGAGCAUAUUUUCCCAACAGCAACGACUAAAAUCUGUAAACCAGACUGUGUUUGCAUGAACAAUAUAAUGAGAUUUUUUGCAUUCUUAAUCAAUUCAACCAACACAACAUGAAAAGUAACAAGUUUAUUAUUAUUUCUUCAAUUAUUGAUAAACUUCCCCCCACUUGAAAAGACUAUGAAAAUAGUCUUAAAUAUAGCAAAGAGGAAAUUAGCCUGGAAGGCAUGGCAAAGUCUUCAUAUUGAAUAGAAACUUAGACUUAAUAGUCUUGAGGAACAAACUGCUAUGUCCUCUGAAAUUAAUGUUGUGGAGGAGGAGAAGGAGCUUAAGCAGUCUAAUGACCGCAUUAAUAACCAAAAGCAAAAGUUUGAUUUCAAAUAGAAUCAAACCAACAGAAUAAAAAAAGAAGUGUACAUGUGACCAAUGUGAAAAGCCUAGCCACUUUAAAAAAGACUGUCAACUUCUUAAGAAAUAAAAGAAGUGUUCGAACACAAAUUUUGUGGACAAAAUUUAUGGCCGUGAUAUCUGAGAUUAAUAUUCUCGAACAUGAUAAUGCAUGGUGAAUAGAUUCCGGUGCAAUCAAGUAUGUGUACAAGAAUCGUAGCUUUUUCAUAUCUUACAAAGCAAUGCAUGAUUGAAGUGUUCUUUAGAUGGGAAAUUCCUCCAGUGCAUCAAUUAGAGGGAAUGUGCAACUAGAGUUCACUUGUGGAAAAACUUUAACUCAUAUUGAUGUUUAUCAUGUAUCUAAAGGUAGGAAAAAUCUUGUAUCUAUAUUAGGGUGGUACCUUAUUUGAGUCAAAGCAAAUUUGCAUUGUUUAAGGGUGGUACCUUUAUUGGGAAAGGAUACAUGUAUUAGGGAAUGCUCAAGCUCAAUAUUAAUAAAAUUAAUGUUUCUUCUGCUUACAUGAUUGACUCAUUAUCUUUGUAGCAUAUUCAUUUAGGACAUGUGAAUAUUAAAAGAUUGCAUGUCAUGGCUAAUUUAGAAUUAAUUUUUAAACAAGGAAACAAUGAUACUGCAUCACUCUCUUUUCAGCCCUCUUUCCUGAAACAAAUUUUAUUGUAUAACAUCAAUACUAUAUGCAUCAAAUAUCUAAUAUAUUGUUUACUACAGGGAUAUUAUAUUGAUUCUUGGCAAGCUUGCAACAUUCAAGAGUAUUCAAGUUUGCUUCCAUCGAUGAACAAUGCAAGCAAACAAAUAAGUGAUUCAUUGUAUCCUGGAGGUGUAUUUGUUUAGCCUAUAUGCAUCACUUAAUUGGUGGGACAAAUAAUAUCUUUAGGAAAGCGACAUUUGUAAUGUGCCUUGAAGUACACAUUAAUUUUCUACAGAUUACCUAUUACUAUUAUUUUAUUAUACUUAUAGAAUUGUAAACACAUUAAUUAAUUAUAAUAAAGUUCCACUUCCACCUUUAUUACUGUAAUUCUCUACAUUUAUCAUUCCCCACAAAUAUAUAUCCCAGCACUUAGUAGAUAUAUUAUUUUAUUAUAAAUAUCAAUAGAUUUUUAAUUGUAUAAUACAUACUUAUGAAAUUGUAUAGAGUAAUUCCGUUCAAUUAUAUUAAUCCGUUAUGAAUUUCAUCACAAAUUUAUUUGUGGCCAAUACCGUGCAAGUGAAAUUUCAGAUAAAAUCAUCUCCUAGCAAUUUAUUUUUUUUAUAGUUUUCAAUUUUGCUUUAACGUAUGGAUCCAUUUCUUGUCUAUAUGGCAGACAACUUUUAUUAUCAGGUAGGCAAAAUCAAAAGCCAUUAUGUCGUUAAUUUUAUUAUGCCAUGACAGACUCCAAGAUCUAAUUUAGAGAGCGACUCAAAUAAUGGUAAUUAGUAAUUCAUUAUAUCUGCAGUUAGCUAGAUACUUUGUUUGUGAAAAAAAAGAAUAAAAUUAGUUUCAUAAUGAUUUUAUUUACAAUAAAUACCAUACUAUGGUCCAUGACUUACCUCAUAUUACAAAGAAAAUAUGUGAAAGAUAAUUAAGGAUUAAAGCUUUCCACAAAGAUUUAUAAAAUUGCUUUUGAGAAAACUGUUCUGAUGAAAUGAAAUUAUAUGAAAUUACUAAGAAUUUAGUUAGCCUCUCAAAAAGGUUUAUUUAUUGCUUGACUUCUCGAGCUUAAAAUUCGAAUGUCAAAAUAGAUAAAAAGUUAAAAAAUUAUUUUAAAUUUAUCCACCCGUUUACCAUUUUAAUAUAUAAAAAAGAAUUACUUACUUUUUAGUAAUUAUGACUAUUUUUAGCAAUAGCAACCGGGGGCAUAAUAUAUCUGAUAGAUUUUUUUUGGGGAACAAAGCUUAUUAUCUCUCUCUCCUAUUGCUUUAAAGUGUCAUCUCUUAUGUUAAACAAGUCUCAGCCAAAGAUUAAAUUGUCAUAUGUUCGUAAGAUAUUCACCACAAAAGUCUAGGGAAAUUUCUUCAUCCUUGAGCGGAAAUACAAAGAAAAACAUAGUUAGCAAUUUUACUAGCAAAACUAAUAUUUUGUUACGUAUGGAGUAAAUCUUCAGGGGGCUCAAGCUCAAACUUAGAAAAACAUAGUUAUUUUGGACGCUUUUUCUAUUUAUAGCUAUUAUGUAGUCAUAAGGAAUUUCGAAAUUUGAGAAGUUUGCUUGUAGCUGCAGGCUGCAGAGAUUUUGAUUUGGCGACUUUGAUUGAUAAUUGAAGUUACUGUUGCAAGAGAAAUGAAAAAAAUAAUUAGCAAAAUAAAAGUCAAAGAGCUAGGCACAAGGCUAUUUGUCAUUUUGUCAUAGUAGAAAAAUAAUUAACAAAAAAAAAAUUCAGUUACUUUGACUUUAUUUCACAAAAUAUAAAAUUAAAUUUCUAUUAUAUGUAUAAAGUUUCUAUAUGAAGUGUUUAGGGGUCAAAUCAGUCUUUUUAUACAUAAUUUUUAAUAUUCACUUAGAAAUCUCAAAAAACUUUCAAAGCUUGUAGGGUCAUGAUCCCCUCUGGGAGUGGACAAAUGUGGGUUUAGAUCAACGCGUUUCUGGUUGAUAGGGUUAGAAUAUUCAAAUUGGAUUAGAUCGGAUAAAAAAUUCAAGUUAAAUUCGGAUCGCAUUGGGUUAUAAUUAUAAGCAAGUUAGGUUGGGUUUGGGUUAAAAUCAUAUUCGGGCUAGUUAUGAUGGAUUCAAAUAAUGUUCGGAUUAGCAUUAUUUUUAAGCCUUUUUUGUUUAUUUUGAAUUUUUUUAAUCAUUUUAGUUCUUGAAGAUUGUUUUAAAGUAAUUAUCUCAUUUCAGUUUUUUUUUUACCAAUUUUCAACAAAAAAUGAAAACUAGUCCUAUGAAAUCAAAUUAAUAAAAAUUAAAAUAAACUACUACUAUCAGAUUGGAUUGGAUCUCCAUCUCUUCCUUCUUCUACAUUUAAGGUAAUUUUGAGCCAUCCAUAGUGUAAUUAGUUCCUCUUUACACAUAUUGUAACCUUUUGAAAAGAUAGCACAAUGUGAGAAAUAUUGUUUUACUAUGGAUGACAAAUCAUUAUAACUUAACGACAAAGGAGCCAAAAGACCUUUCCCAAACUCUUCUACCUUCCACAUUCCACUAUCUAAAAUUAUUUUCUAUUCUUCUAUUGGUCAUUUAUAGUGUAAGAAUUUCCCUAUUAUCUUUGCAACAAAAGGCAAGCCUUUGCACUUACAUGCAAUUUUUUGAUCGAUUGAUCACGAUCCUUGAAGAAUUGACCCAAAAAUGCUACUUGCUUAAACAAUGACCAACAUUCUGUUGGGAAAAUAUGCUCUUUAAAAGCAUAUGUGUUUAUUUAAUUGUAAUAAACAUUUUUUCUGAUUAAUAAAAUAAAUGAGGUAUUUUAUUCAAAUAUCUUAAUUGCAUUAAUAUUUGUAUUAAAGUCCAUUUAAUCAUAUUAUAUGUAUUUAUGUGAUCACUAUGUGGAUUCACAGAAGACAUAAAUACAAGUUAUCUUAUGAUUAAAUAAAUUUAGUUCGCAGUUGAUAAAUAAAGUUGGGCACUUUAUUUAGGUAUAGACUGUAAUAAAUUCAUUGAAUGAUUUGUCUUAAUCAUGUAUGAAUUUAUUGAUGUAGUACGACUACAUUGAACAGGAUCACAUAUGAGAUUUAAUUAACUUUGUAAUAACUGUCAGACUUAUUAAAUCUCAUAGGCGUUGAUUUUACUGUAAUCUUAAUCUUGAGUUAAUUAUGAUUUCAUGAUUGUGAUUGUUAUUUCAUUUGAGUUACCAAUGGGCACGACACAUCCUUGUGGUCAAGAUUACCCGGUAUCUUGGUGGGAGCAAUUAUGAGUAUUGGAGUUAUGGAUUAACAAUAUAGAAUUUGUACAACACAUCUCUUGAUAGGUUUUCGGUACUUGAUCAUAAAAUUCUCUGGCCAGAGUGUAUCAACAUAUUUAGUAUGUUGAAAAUGAUCAUUAGAGAAAACCAGUAAGGAUCAAGGAAUAAGAUGUUAUUAAAUUGAUUGGACAGUUGAGAUAUCAAUUUAAUUAACGAUGUGGUACAAAGGAUUGUGCAGUAAAGAAAUCAAUGUGGCUUGGGACGAAUUAUUAUUCGAGCAUACAAUUAUGGAAGUCAGUUCCAAUCUUUUAGUGGAGUAGAUUUGGAAUUAAAUAAUUGGGCUAGUUUAAUUACAGGCCUAAUUAUUGUAGCCACUAUUGUAUGUUCCCAAAUGAUCCCCGGGUUAGCUCAUUUAAUUGACUGCACCACUACUGGACUAAUAAGUAAGAUAACUAGCUAUUUGGGUCAAAAGCCUAAAUAUAUCAUUUAGUGGGAGGCUCCAUUUAAUUAGCUUUUGUAUAAGGGGCCUUAUGUUAUUUUACAAGGUGGGUCCUCUAUUGAAAAAGAAAAUAACGUGAGUUUUAUUUAGGGUAUUAUUUGGAGCCUAGGGUUUUCACUAAAGGGUGAUAUAAAAGGCUUAUUUUUCCCAAAAGAAAAAAGAUGAAGCCACUUUAUACAAAUUGGAGAAUAAGAUUUUUCUCUCUAUUGUUGAGAGAAAAAUUUUCUCAUGCUAGUUGCUUUGGUAGUGAUAAAGGCGCCCACACGUCAAGUGCAGAUCGAACCUGAGUCAUAACCUGGAAGAUCAUUGGAGACAGUUCGUGAUCUAACAAGCGUGGUGGUGACGGAUCGUGAUCUAACAGGAGUGGUGGUGGCGGAUCGUGAUCUAGGAGCCUAAAUCACUUCAGCGGAAAAAGCAAACUCAGAUUUUCAAGGUACGAUUUCUAGAAUACAAAUUCUUAUAUAUAUUAUAUGAGAGCGAUCUUCAAAAGGUUUUAUAAAAAUUUAAAAACCUAAUUUUUCCCCAACACAUUCUUCUUCAAUUAAUUCCUUAAGAAAUGUAAGAUUUGUUGAUCUCAUCAUGCUUGCUACUUACUGAUUACGUGCAGUAAUCAAAAUUUGACUAUCGUAGAGACCAUUCUUUAAACAAUAGAAGAAUGGUUCCCAUUAAUUGUAAUGUCCAUCCCACACAUCAUUUAAGACAAGAAAAAAGUAUCUUUCCCUCAAUACAUUUAUGAAUAUGGCUUACAAGAGAUAACCUAAUAUUUGAACAUCGUUUUCGGGAUGGUUGCUCCUUUGAUUGUGUGGUCGCACCAUGAUAACAAGUGAACUUGCUCUGAUACCAGCUGAUGAUGCAGAAACACUAAAAAGCUAUUAGAUAAUAUAAACUAGUAUUUGAAUAAUAAGUUUUAUUGAGAAUAAUUUGAAUGAACAAAAUUAGGGUUUUGAAUCCCAUUUAUAGGAGCCUAAAUAUAGCAAAUUUAACAAACUAAGCAAAUUCAAAAUAUUAUAUGAUAAUAAAAUUCUUCAAAUCUAAAUAAGAGAAAGAAAACAGAUGGCACUUAAAUCCAACAUCUAGAAAAAAUGAUAAAAAUCCUAGAAGAAUCAAGAAAAAUAAAAAAAUAUCUUAAAACUGAAAAACGACUAUAAAAGAAGUGAAACUUUUAGCUCAAUCGCAGGGCAUAACAGCCUAGGUCGUUCUGUAUUUGGUUCGACUCAUCGCAAGCUUGGAAACUAUAUUAUAUGUCCAAAACAAAUACUCGUAGCCCAAUUUCUAGCCUCGGAAGACACCAUGCUUAUUCCAUGCAACUAUCUUAUAUCAACUUGCCUUCUCUGCAUCUUCAAGCACAACUUGAAUGUCUUGAAGAUUUAUGGCAAGUCACAAGCAGCAAAGGAGUUCAGCUACUCCGGGAGAGGGGAAGCGAUCACAUCCAUUCUGGCAAAGAAAAGGAGAAAUAAUUUCAUAAGUUGUUCAACGUGCUUUUGUUGCGAAAAUACUUAAAGAAACGAGUUGUUGCAUUCUUCUUACACUACACGAAAAAUGUUUAUGGUUAUUGUCGCCCACCCCACGCGUCAAUAAUUUUAGCAUUUUUAAUUUCCCUGAUUCUACUCCACAGCUGUGAUACAUAAUUGUAAAUAUUCUCUAAUUAAUUUGUAGUGGUCGGGCCAGUGCCAUUUAAAACCAAAAAAAAAAAAAAAACCAAAAGAAAAAAAAGACAAAAGUUGGAAAAAAGCAUGCAUCACCGAUAAUUUAUUUAUUUGUCUGAGGACGGGGAUAUUUUCUACCCACUUCUUUUACAAAUCUACCCACUUCUUUUACAAAUCUACCUUGCUGUCAGAAAAUAAUUGUAAUACGUUCAUACUAUUUUUAAAAUAUAUAAAUCAAUAAAAUGUAUAGACAAUCAAUAAAUUAAAUCAUUCAUAUAAUUUUUUAUUUUUUUAACUUAGGUGUCUUUGACCAUUUAGGUUGCUUUAAGAUAAGUUUUAUUUGACUAAUUUACCAUGAUAAUAUAAAAUGACUAAAAUACCCCAAGAAUCAAGAGUUCUUGUAUAUAAUAGUUUAGGUAUUUUAUUUUUUUGAUUCAAUCUCCAAACUUAUUGUAAUUACAUCUUCUUUAUUUCAAUUUUUAAGAAAUAAUUUGAACUUAUUGUAAUUAUUUCUUGAGAGUGGGGUGGGUUUACAAAAAUUAUGGGCCUUUUCGUUUAUUAAUUCUUGGAAAUUAAUGGCUCCGUAAUCAAUUUCUUUUGUUCUUUUAUUUAAAUAGAAAAGAAAAAUUAAGAGGAGCUUUUGUCUAUUGAAUUGAGGUUCUGUGAAGAAAAAUACGUAUCAAAUGAUCGACGGAUUGUACUUUUCAAUUUUUACUUCACAGUACUUUUCUUUAUUUGCUGGGUCAUUUAUGUUGUUUUGGACGGAUUUAAGUGUUCUUAUACAUUUUAUUGAAUUUUAUUUUGAUAAAAUCACCAACGAUCAGUAGAGAUUUACACUACUUAUCUGAGUAUUUGGUUCUCUAAUGUAAGGAAGCAUGUAAUCUUUCGCCAAUAAUUUUUUAUUUCAUCAAAAUGUUAAAAUGUUGAAAGGAGAAUUAGUUUAUAUAUAUAUAUAUAUAUAUAUAAGAGAAUUAGAGUUCAUAUUGAAGAAACUUCUUUUUCCUACUAUAAGUCCAGUUCGAAUCUUUGAAGCAAAUGAUCUAAUCUCAAGCAUAGAAAGUAGGAAGAUCGAUUGAACAGCGGACACAUUAACAAAAAAUAAUUAAUUUAAAAAGUUAAUAUUGGAUAUCAUAAAAAUUUUAUUAUUAUUAUUGGAAGUUGGUAUGUUGAAAAAUAAACAAGCUUUAUAUGAACUUUAAACACAGAUAAUAAUUUGCAUGUAGUGAAAUUGCUUAAUACAUCCAUUAUUUUAUCAUUUUUAAUUUUAUCUAUCGGUUAUUUUCAUUUUGAAAAUAUAGGAUAAAUAAAAUAAUAACAAACACAUAUUUCAAUUGAAAAUUUAUCAACUUGAAAACACCAUUUUCAUUCUCAUAAUAUAAAUUUAAAAAUAAAAUACAGAACAUGCCCUAACAUUUUCUGAAUUUAUUUUUAUACUGUAAAAGAAUCAAAUUACUCACACAAUUAUUUUAGCUUUUAUGAUAUAAACAAAUAAUCAUCAUUUAAAUUCAAUAGAAAGAGGUAUUCUUGGUAGAAUUGACUUCUUUAGCAAAAUAUAAUCUAUUUGGGACUUCUUACUCCAUUAGGUUAAUUGUCACAUCAUUAAUUUUAGAUUAUAAACUUUAUAUUCGAACUUUGUAAGACCAUCAUUUCUCCAUUUUUAUUUAAAAAAAAAAAAUUAACUUCUUGCAUGAUCUAGUUGGUCUCCUUUCAAAAGAAACCAAAAAUAAAAGGAAAUAAAGCAUAUUAUUUAUCUUAAUUACUUUCAUUUGUUAUUGACAUGUACUCAUGCAUUGUGGUCUUUUGUAUACUUUAUCGAUAUGUUUUGCUUAAGGGAUAAAACUCAUUAUGUGGCAAAAUUUUAUUAGAGCUGGGAUUAUUUAUAUAUGUUCUAGUACUUUGAGCAUCUUACUAUACACUCGUCUAUAAAAUUUUAACAUUAAUUUUUACUACUCAUCGAAAUAUCAAAAUAGUUCUGUAACGUAUGUGAAAAAAAAAAAAAUAAUAAUAAGAGGAAGCUGGGUAAUGUUUUAUGGGCGAGAGGGAUAGAGGAAGCUGUCAACCCGACCCGGAAAACCCGACCCAAAACUGCGAACCCGACCCAGACAGAUCUCCGAUUUUCGGCCACAUCACCGGCCAUGGAUGGUAGCAACGAAAGCUCCUGAGCCAGCCAUCACUUUCCGACCGUCACUGUCGCCAAAAACCAACCGAAACGCCGCCGUUUGAAGCGCGAAUAGUCGCAGCCAAAACCUAUCACGACCGUCGUUGAUUCCGUCGGAAUUAGGCCAUGCCAGACGGAGAAAUGGUCGGCGGUAAACAGAGUUUGUAUCGGAGGUGGGGUAAAUGGAGGAUGAUGGAGAGAGGGCAACCAACGGUCAUGAUGAGGGAGAGGAGGAGGAGGGUGAGGUUAUGGACGGCUGUGAUGGGCUUGAGGAUGUGGGGUCAAUGAGAGGUGAUGAUGGUGGUGCUGUUGAUGUUGAUGUUGAUGCGUCGUGGAGGAUGAAUGUGAGGGAGAGGUAAGUGAGGGUGGAGAGAUAAGUAACUUAUAUAUAUAUAUAUAUAUAUAUAUAUAAGUAAUAUAUUAUUUAUUAAAAAUUAAUUCUUUGAACACUUAAAAUUAUUAAAAUAAAAAUUUAUUCUAUUGUUGUUAAUUCAUAAAAUUUUAAUUCAAUUAUAACAUUUUCAUUUUUUUUUAAGUUAAAUUAUAUCUUUUUUAUUAUUUUUUCCUAAAUUAAACUAAUUUUUCUCUUCUUUUAUUGUCUAAAGUUUUUCGAUAUAGUUUUAUUUCAAAAUAGAUAAAACAAGUACAAAAAAAAGUAGAUGAAUAAAAGAAUAUAUUAAAAAAAUAAGAACAAAUAGCAACACAACUAAUUAAGAGAAUAAUAAAAAGAUAAAAUCAUAAAUUUGAGAUGAAAUCAUAAAUUAACUUAUGUUUAUAUUAAGGCUAUUGUUUGAAAAUUUGAGUAACGACCAAUAGUCAUAGAAAAUAGAGAAAAUUAUUAGAUUUUUUCUUUUUCUUCUAGAGUAGAAAGUAGGGGUGUUCGCGGAUCGGAUUUUACGGAUUGGACAUCAAUCCAUAUCCGAUCCAUGAUUUUGCGGAUUAUAAUUUUUCAAUCAAAUCCAAUCCACGGAUUGAUAAAAUUCAAUCCAAAUCCAAUCCAUACAUCUGCGGAUUGGAUGCGGAUUUGACUCAAUCCAUAUCCAAUCCAUACGUCUGCGGAUCGGAUGUGGAUUUGACUCAAUCCAUAUGCAAUCCACCAUUUUGCGCAUUAGUUUUCAAAUUAAAAUUUUUUAGUUCUCUCCAACUAAUGAAAUAAAAAAAUCUAAUAUAAAAAUAAUUUUGCUACCAAUUAAAUUUAAAAUUGAAUAAAAUUUAAAUAAAUUAAUUGUUUAAAUAAAGCUAAAAUAAUACAUUUAAAGUUUCAAAAUAUAACACAUCAAGAUUAAUUAUUCAAAUAAAGCUACAAUAAUACGUUCAAAAUUUCAAAAUAUAACACACCAAGCUUAAUUGUUCAAAUAAAGUUACAAUAAUACGUUAAUAUAACACCGAAAUUAAUUGUUCAAAUAAAGCCACAAUUAAUUGAAAUGGCAAAGUUUCGGAAACCAAACACAGUCUGAUCAUUCACCAGGAUUGUUGCGCCUGUCAAAAAGUGGUGAUUACGGAGCCAUCCACGAUGGGAACCGUGAGAAGCCGUACGGGUGGCAAUCUUGAAGGUUGUGAUAGUGAAAUUGUUCAGCUAGAACCAGUGAAUGUGAAGUGGCUCGAUGGACUUGGGAAAGAAGAUGGCUUGCUCUCGCCGGAAUCGCGCAGCCAAUGUCUUUUAAAUCCGUGUCGAGAGUGUAUCCAACCAGUAUUGAGUGUUGCUAGUGUGUGUGACGGCGAGGAGCUUAAGGUUUUUUGUUGGCAAAUUAUUGGUGACUUGACGUUAUAUUACUUUGCUUUUGCUAGUGCGUGUGACUUUACUUUUAUUUUGUUUUACAAUUUUUACAAGCUAUAUUUGUAUAUUUGAUUAUUUAAUUAUUUUUCAUUUUAUAUUAUUAUUGGGUAAUGGCUAAGAUAUGUUAUAUUGCUUAGUAACUAUGCAAUGUCACAUUUAUAAUUUUUUUAAUUAAAUUUAUAAUAAUUUUUUAAUUAUAAUAUAUAUAUAUAUAUAUAUUUUUUUUUUUUUUUUUUUUGCGGAUUCACGGAUUUCCGCAGAUUUACAGAAGUAAAUCCAUAUCCAAUCCAUCGACUGCGGAUUUUUAAAUUUUCAAUCCAUAUCCAAUCCACGGAUCGGAUUUAUACGGAUCGGAUUGGAUUCUGAACACCCCUAGUAGAAAGUAGAGGAAGAAAUAUUUUUUUCCCUCUCUCUCUUUCUUUCUCUCAAACACCAAGAUGUCUUGAUUGUUAGAGGAAAAUUUUAAUGGAUAAGUAACAAAAUGUGGGGCUUUUAUAGAGGUUUAAAAUAAAUAUAAAACUUUUGAAAUAUAACUUAUUAAUUCUAACAAUGAAAUAGAGAAUUUUUAGGAUUGAAACUAUUAAUUUAUUGGUUUUGUAGAAAUUAAAACAAUUAAGUACUACAUUAAAUAAACUUUAUAAGAAUUUGAUAGUUUAUUUAGAAAAAGAUAAUUACAAAAUAAUAAUAAAUUAAAUGAAUAAUAAUGACUUUUAAAUUCAUUUUCCUCUUUUAUAUACAAAAUAAUCAUCUCGUAGGGCUUUCAUAUAAAGCGGAGUCCUAUACAACCGCCUAAGUUGCCUAGAGGUCGAACCACUACUAUUUACAAGCCAAUAUUGGAGUGUUGAGGUAACUAAAUAUGAAGCCAUGGCUGGUUUUUUGGGGGAGAAAGAUUUGGAAGAGAUGAUGUUGAGAGGAACGGGGGAGUUCAUAAAGUUUUAGGAUAACGUGGAGGGUAUUUUGGACAUAUUACUGUCUUAGCUUAAAUUUUGGGAAAAAGAUAAUCAAUAAUAAACUAUUUUUUUUAUUUUAGAUUUUAAAUCGUAAAUUUAGUAAAGGAAGUUAAAUCAAGUGAUCACUUGAUUGUUUUCCUAUCAAUAAUAAACUCUUUUUUCAUAUCAAUUUAAAACUCCGAGUGUGUCUCCAAAAAUUGUUUUCCUUUUUUUUAUUUUGGAUUUUAAAUCGUAAAUUUAGUAAAGGAAGUUAAAUCAAGUGAUCACUUUUUUUUUAUGCAAAGCAAUUAAUCUUUUUUGUAAUACCAAACUCCUAUUUCAUCUACCGAAACUACAAAAAUUAAUAUUUUCUAUCAAAUCAAAACCAAAAUUAAAAGAUAACUUAUUAUCUGCCAACUGUCAUUCAACGAAGUCAUCACUCACGCAAAAAAGGAAAAAAGAAAAAAAAAAGUGAUAUAUUGAUUUUAACAUAAUUUCAUACCUCUCUCAAAAAAAAAAAACAUAAUUUCAUACCAACAUAUCAUUCGAGGUUGAUGUGGAAAAGAACUAUUUUUAGUCCAAUUUCAUGUUUGGAUGUUGAGGUUGAUGUGGAAAGGAUGUGGCUCCCACGUAAAACCCAUCGCUUCGUUCUAAACUAAGUGAAUUUAUCUCGUGAGCUAAGUAGUUUAGGAGAUAACUCAAAUAAUUAAUUUUUUAUUAGUUCAUUAAUAAGAAUUUUUUAUUAUAUUUUAAAAAGUAUAAUUCAUUACCAAAAAAAUAUUCUUAAUAAAAAUAACUGUUAUUUAAGAUAUUACAUUUUGACAAUAAUAAAAUAAUUCAAAAUUAAUUAAUUUAAUUUGAUCUCAUACUUUAUUAUUAAAAAACUUAUAAUAUCUUUAUUAAUUUUAUUAAAUUAUUAUUUAAAAGUCAUACAUUUACUGCACACUGUCAACUUUCUGCUAUUUUUUUUGUUCUCACAACAACUAGUAAUAUCAAACAAGAGCUAAGUUAAGUAUGAUCAAUUAAUUAAAGUUUUCAUUUUUUGUAUAAAAUAAUCCUUAGAUAAUUAGUCUAUAAAGAGUAUUGGCUACUUCAAAUGGAAACUUGUGAUCAAAAGUGUAUUACAGAAGUGACAAAGGCACACUAUAUGAGAAAUCUGAAAUAGAAUUUGCAAACUUGAACUGGGUUACAGAGAGUUAAUAAGACUCCAAAGGAACAUGGAAACUAUUAUCUUUAUUAAAUAAUAGUAAUACAAGCUAUUAACUGACUAUUAUCUUUAUUAAUUUCCAUAGCGAAAACAAAAUUAACUUUCCUAACUGACUAGAAUUUAACUCAAGGAAAAUUAGAAUAUACGACGUUGUAUCACAUACGGUAUUUAGACAUCAAGAGAAGAUUCCCUCUAUCAGUGAACUAUACUUGCCAGGAAAUUAACCCCAGGCGAGUACCACCACCUCCUACUAUUUCUUAGGUGUCUCAGAGUUUGAUGAGGACUUCCAUGAUGUGUCUCUUCGACAGGCAGCGAAAUUGGGCAAUUGACUACAUUAACUCCAACAAAUUUAUGCAGUCACCUUCCUCCGGACUAUCCUCUUUCUUCGCGCUUUAGUUGCCCUUAUUUCCCCUUUAAUACAGUCAACAUUAUCUUGUUUGAUGCCAAGGAGACCAAGCCCAGAAACAAUGGCAUUCUUUGAUAUCAACCACCUGGGGACUUUUGAGCUGAGCCAUGACAUCCUGAGAUGGCCUGUUGUGUAAGCCUUCUUCAAAAGGUCAUCCGUUAAUCUUUCUCCUAAUUACACAUUCAAAACCCUGCAUGGAAUCGAUUUGAGAAGUUGGACAAUAGACAAACUCCAACACAUAUAGACAGUAAAGAAGAAUUUAGACCGCAAUCACUGUGGCUCAACAAAUGGGCCUAUUAAGCCUAUUAAAAGUUGGAACCAUAUUCACCGCUCGCAUUUCCUUAGAGAACUAUAUCAGAAUUCUGUAAAUGUAAAACUAUUCUUACAUAUUUAACUGUAAAACAAGAGAAAUUGUACUUCCGUAGCAAAGUCUCGCUAUUGGUAAGUAUUGGACUUGGAAAGGAUGCUAGUUGAUGAAGUAAAGGAAAAUUGAAAUCAGACUUUGAGGUGACAGAUCUAUACACUUCAAUAGGAACCACAUUGACAUCAUAUGAGACAAAUAAACAUUCCCCAGUCAAAGUUUAACAAACAAAACAUUAAAACAAGAGUAAGUUGGUCUAUCAAUGUAUAUAUAGACAUGUCGAUCAAUAGACAAAUACGUAAAAGAGGGAGGGAGAGACCUCAAAGCCGUGCUACUCCAAUAACUUCAAAAUUGUUGGUGACCACUCUAUCAAAUCCACCCAAUAGUUGCAUACACUCACCGAUGGGUUUGUCACAGAUAACCUGUUAGGCAUUAAAAAUUGCCCAAAUUAAACAAAUGUUAGACCAGCUUAGACAGUAAACGGAACAAUAUUCUAAUUUUACUUUAUUUAUAACGAAUAAGUGAACAAAGGAAUAAAAAGGAAUUUUGGCAAAGAAUCCUGCAGCUAAUCCCACCAUACACCGCUCUGCAGGCUUAUUUGGGAAUCAAAAUUCUCAAAAUGUACUAAGAAAUGACAUUUGUUUACUAGUCCCACCAACAAGGAGGAAGUGACGUGAAGAGAAUUUACUAAGAAAUGCCAGUGUAUUAAUAUUGAAGGAAAACAUUCACAGACGACCAAAAUCGCUGAUAUAUACUUAAUUUCUCACUCACUAAGAACGUUCAAUUCAUUCAAAUGAAACUUCCACAGGAAGGUCUCAUUAUUAAGGCUUUAGCUUCACCUCACAUGCUCAACAAUUCAAAUUUGAGGAUGAUAUUUCUCCGAAUGGAGGGCUCUAUUUGGCUUGCCAAUAAUCUUCCUCACAACUAUCAUCCUUGCUAUAUCGGUUGCACUGAGCAAUCUUCAUUCUGAUAUUUGCCCUAUUAAGCUGAGUACACAAGAAUCCGAAACAACUGUUAGAAAUUUUAAUCUUUAUAUAUAGCCAAAAUGGUGAAUAAGAUGAUGUAUUGAUAAUAAAUACCUGAGUUAAUAAAUAAUUAAGGGGCCGGUAACAAUCUCAGCAUUUUAUCAGGUGGGGAAAGCCUUCGCAACGAAGAUGCUGCUUGCUUUCAAGCAAUAAUAACUUUCCAAUUCCAUAAGAUAGCUUAAUGCCCUUUUAAGAAUAUCUCCACCAGCCUAACAAUUAUUCAUGGAAAUCCAAUUUGCAUUUGUCGCCUUCAAUUUGCUCAUCUUUGUCUAGAGUAUUGUUUUUGCAUUAACUUAGCUAGCUUGCAAACCACCUGCAGAUGGUUUUAAAUAAUGUGUGAGAGUGUGAAUUCAAACGAAUUAAUUAAAUAUGAUGACAGGAGAAACAAAAUUAAAAUAACCACAAGAAGUAGAACUAUACUUUUGUGAUAUUCAGAGCAUCUCCUACUGUCUUCAUUUCCCUUAGCUCUGUUUCCCUUUGUGCUCGAACACAAUGCCUCAAGGCUCAAGAUAAUUUGAUGACCAUCAAUCUUUUUGCAGCCACAUGUAGACUUGAAAAACUGUUGGCGGCCCUAAAGAACUUGAAAAUUAGAAAAGAUUCAGAAUGAGUGACUAAAUAUUAUAAUCGAAACUAAUUAAACAAACGCGCCUUGAAAAUCUGAAACUGAAUUACUCAAAUGUAUAUGCCCCUUCACAGCAAUUGCAUGCACGUGGUGGAAAUUUUACUGCGAAGACUUUCUCAAACCUUGAAGAUCACACUCGGCCUGACAACAAAGAAACAAAGUCAAUAUACGAAGAUGAUUUUACUAACAAGUGAGAGCUUACAAAUAUUUGAAGGAUAACGAUCACUCAUAACCCAAAUCCCCAGUAUUCCCUAAUAUUUCACUCAAGUGAGUUCAAGCUCCCAAAUUUCACUACAGUGAAAUGUCAAAACAAAACUCUCUUCUCAAAUUUGAUGAUGAUAUCUCUCGAAGGGAGGCAAAAGAAUCUAACACUGAUCAAAUUGGCUUGUGAACAAUUAAUCUUCCUCGCCAUCAUUCAUACCAGGUGCGGUGAAAAAUCUUCAUUCUGAUAUUUGCCUUAAUAAGCUGCUUAGUAACCUUAACCUGAUAACUCACACAAACAAAAACAACUUGCCUAAAGUUUAAUAUUUCGAGCAGAACAGUAAAGAAGAUGAUAUCUAUUGAUGCUAAAAUUUGACCUGUGUUACCCUGAUGUCAAAAAUCAUAGCAUCUCAUGUGGGCAAAAUCUUCGCAACACGAGAUGCUUGCAAAAUUGGAGCAGCAUCUUAUCACCUGUAAUUUAAUUGAGACAAUAACUUUCCCCAACCAUUUCAAUGCAUUAUUGGCAACUAAAUUCAGAGGGUGCUAAUUAAAUACCCUUUUAACAAUAUCUUCUUAUUCUUCUUCAAUCUAACAAUUAUUUGGAAAAUCUAAAUGACAAUCAUGCAUCGAUGGCAUGAAAAUUUGGCUAAAAAGUAGCCUGGAAAAGGCUGCUCUCUGAAUGAGAGCAUGAAUUCGAACAAAUAUGAUGAAUGAAUAAAUAAAGGCAUAAUACCACAAGAAGUAAAACUUUUACCCAGAUUUCUGUUUCUGUUUGUGCUAAAACCAAUGGAAACCGAUGGAAAUGAAUUUCUACGAAUUAGACAUAUCAGCCAAAACAGGUACUCUGUACAAGCAAAGUAAAAGAGGGUUACAAAAAAUUUUAAUAUUGAUAUGAUAAUUAUAAUUAUAAUGAAAAUUUCAGUUACCAUAUAAUUAAUAGAUAACUCUGUACAUAAUGAUUUAUUGCAUAUUAAGAUUGUAUACCUGAAUUUUAAUUGCUUUACAAAAUAUGGUAGUAGCAUUAGGAGACCGCACCAAACGUACCGAAUUGAAUGUGCCUUUUCACAGCCAUUGUACCAGCUUUGAAGCAUUACCACAAAUGCUUUUUCAAACCCGUGAACAUGAUGCACCCGAGAGAUGAUUAUCUUAGCACCUAAACAUCAUGCAAUAAUAAUCAUCAUGUCUUUCAGGCAGCUAUCCAUCCUCAAUUGAAACAGAGCAGACCCGGCCAUCACUUCCUUCUUCAAAUUCCAGCAACCAAACGUUGCACAAUAACCACAGUGAUAAUCCUUGGUUACCCCAAUGUUCUCCAUAGAGUCUUCAACGUCAACCUAAAAAUGAAAUAAAAAUGCAAUGCAGGUGGAAAUGAAAAUUCUAUAAACUAAAUAAAAUAAAAAAUGCAAUGCUUGAGCUUGAGCUUGCUUUAAUCAUCAUAAUAAUCGAAUUUGGAUAUAUCUUUACUUCUCUGUGGUUCAAUCAUUUACUUCCCUGUUCUUGUUUAUUCACAACAAGAUAUCAAUAGAAGAAGAUGGAAAUGAAAUUCUAUAAAAUAAAGCAAGUGAAUUACCAGCAGAACAUUUUAGCAAUCCUUUGGCUAAACUUUUCAUUUUCAUAGUCUUGCUCUCCUGCCUGCAUCAUCAAAACCAAAUUAGAUUGGACCGGACAUUUCCUCGAAUCUCUGGUGAACAUAAUUAAACUCGUAUGAAAUAAAACAAAGUGGGCUAAUGUACUACUAAAAAAAUUACACAAUUACUUUAAAGAAUUAAUGUCACAUAAAUUAUAUACAAAAAAAUACGAUUAUCAUUAUACAAGAUAAAAUUGAUAAUUUAGUUUUCAACGUUACUGCAAAUGUAUCACAGAGAUUUUGUCUCUCAGGAAGUUACACAUGAUAAAUUUUGGUACAUUAAAAAAUAAAUUACAUUAGGAUUUUCCAUGAUGUUGUAUGAAAUUUUAUAAAAGUCUACUUAUUUUUUAAAAGAAAAUAUAGGAAUUUCAACAGAUUACAGUUUUUUUAAUAAUUUAAUCUUUAGAAAAUUAGUUUAACAGAUUUGAUAACUAAGAAGUUUAAAUUUUAAAUAAUUAAAAUUAAAAUAUUAUCCUAACUAACUUUUAAAUUUAUGAACUAUUGAUUAAAUCUAACCGUACAUAUUUAUACCAUGAUUGGUUUUAUAAUUUUUAUAACAGCAUCAUAGAGUGACCCAUUAAAUUAUUGGCAAAUUAAUGGCUGAAGUAAAUAGAUAAAUUCAAUAUGCAAAUCAAAAUAUUAGAAAUAUAUAAUAUAUUCAUGUCACACAUUGGCAAUAUACAGAAUUUUAAUUCAUAAUAUAAUUAUUUUUAUUAAUUUCAUUGCAAGCAACAACGGAGUAAAUCAGAGGAGGAGAAGAAAUUACCGUUGGGUGAUAUCUCGAUGUGGGGAAUGUGAGAUAUCUUAUGCCAAUCUUCUCCUUUCGCCUCCCUAUAACGGUUUUCCAGAAGAGGACAUUGCUCAAUCCUCAAUUUCUGCAGUGUCGUCAAUUGAAGAAGGUAAUCCGGCAGCACCUUUAAUUUGGGGCAAUACUCAAUUUCCAAGGAAGAAAGACGUGGUAUGUCUGUUGUCCUGUGAUCUUCUAGAAUGGGCAGUUCUUCCAAAUUUUCACAAAAACUAAUACUCAGUUCCUGCAGUGCCGUCGUUUGAAGAAGGUAAUCCGGCAGCGCCUUUAAUUUGUUGAAACCAGAAACUGUUAAAGAAGAAAGACGUGGCAUGAUGGAGAUGUUUUCCUUCCUCGUAAUCCUGUAAUUCCACUCUUCCAAUUCUUCCAUGUCCCAAAUUAUGAGUGAUUUCAAUUUGGGGAAGGCAAUAACUGAUGGUGAUGAUGAAGAUGAAGACGGGCCAUCCUCACUGCUUUCUUCUAUUCCCAAAAACUCAUUACCCACUCUUUUUACACUUUUCAAGUGGAUGAUUACGAGUUUUUCCAGAGGCAAUUUUCCCAAAGGAGGCAAAUGCUCACACUUAACGCACGAGCGAAGAUAUAAAUUCCUUAGAUUGGUCAGUGAAGUCAACCAUUUGGGAAAAAUGUUGCGUCCAUAUAAUAUAAUCCCUAAUUUCUCUAAAUUCACAGGCGGUUGUAAGGCUUCAAGAAGUAGUUUAUCUUUCUCAUUCUUCCUCCUCCCUUCUUCGCCUUCCCCAGCUACGACUCUACCAAACGCAAGAUGCAAACGAAGGAGGUUUUUCUUAUUGUAAAGUUGUGACCUCUCAGCCUCAUCUACAUGCGAUACAUUACCCAGCCCUUCUAUUCCACAUUCACGAAGGAGUUGAAGAUUUUUCAGAGAUUCAAGCCUACACGUGCUGCCGCCAUCAACACCUCCACCCACAACAAACUUUUCUAAUGUUCGAAGACUCGUUAAUUUGGAAAUCCCUAUUGGCAGGUACUUCAACGAACGAGUUUUAUCAUUCAGUAAACUCCUCAUGUUCAUUAACUUCCCAAUCCCCGCUGGCAAUUCUCUAAGAUUCUGGCACCACCUAAUAUCUAGCUUUUGUAAAUUAUAUAAUUCACACAAAGUCUCAGGUAGUCUCUUUAUGCCUAAUUCAGAUAAAUUAAGAUAUUUUAAAUGUAUCAAUUUUUCAACAUUUUCUGGAAUUUUUCUAAUCC